AAUGAAUGAACGAUAUCAGAUACUAAAGAUUUAUUAAUCAAAUGGAUGAAUAGCCCCCAUGACCAUUUUGUCGAAAUUAUUGUGUAUAUGUAUGGGCGCUGUAAUCAGCUGGCUGUAAUGUGAUGGUGUACAAGCGAAAUUUCAGGUGACCUGUAAAAACUUUCCUCAAGCUACUACCACAAUAGCUAAUUAAUUAAUCUGAUUGUUUGUAUCCCCUGCGGUUGCCCUGUGACAUCCCUCUCGAUAGGAAGGAGGAAUCUGUUGGAAAGUUCAGCAAAUUUACGAUUAUUUCUCAUGAAUAAUUCAUGACUAAAACGAUACUACCUCCGUCCUGGUUUAUUGGCCCUCUUAGUAUUUUGUAAUCAAAUUUUGACAAUGAAUUUAAUUAAUAAAAUAUUAAUGCAUGUCACAAAAAGUAGUAUCAUUGAAAACUACGUUCAAAUACUAAUCCAAUUACAUAAUUUUUUAUGACAUACAUAUACAUUUUUUAGUUAAAUUUAUGGUCAAAUUUUUGACACAAAAUACAAAGUAGACCAAUAAACCAGGGCGGAGGUAGUAGUUAUUAGUAUGCAUAGUUUUAGCAUACUAGAUAAACAGGACAACAUCAUUGGACAUGCAACAAAUAUCAUAAUUAGAGAUAUAUAAUUCGAGACAUGAUCACAUGAUCAGAUUACAACGCAAGUACCGAUCGUUCGUAGAUGAAGUAGUCGAAGCAGAGGUUGGUGACAAUGGCCCUGCGUGGGUGCGUGACGGUAGUACUACUUUGUGCAUUUUCAAAGCAAAUCAAAAAAUCAUUAUAAAAAUAAAUCAAACCAAACCAAUUUUAUGAUUUCUAGUUUUUGAUACAGUAAGGCUUAAUCAAAUUAAAAUAUAUAUUUAUAUUUCUUGAGCGAACAAGCAAACAAGCAGUCGAGCACGUGAGCUUGUCUCGCUUGCCUUAUCAAACAUUUACACGACCAGACACAAUCUUAAUUACCUCACAUCUACUCUUCACCAGGUCAGUAAGCAAAUUAAGUGGUUUUAAAGUUGCUAUCGUGGUUCGUAUACUCUAACUGACCAAUCAUAGUACCGCAUAAAAGAUUAAAAGGAGUUGUGAUCUGCUCGCUCAGACCCAUGAAAAACUUAAUGGGUAGAUCAAUGGCCCAAAAGAGCUUGGAACGUAGUCAUUUUUGUUGUACAUGAGUCAGAUUCCCUGCUAAACACGUCCAUUUUUCGUAUAACACAGUUCUUUUUCCCUAAAAAAUGGUAAUCACGAUCCAUAAACAACACAAAGUAUGCAUUGCACAUUUGCAUGCUGCAUGCAUGACCCUCCAUCAAGGCAUGAAUCCAUGCAUAUAGAAUAUACAUAGUUAUAUACUGAUUGUAUAGAAAAUUAUGUUACUUCCAAAUUCACGUCAACUUGAUUAUUAUGGUAUAUGCUGAAUCCACACCGAGAUAAUUUAACAUAUACCGGAAUCGAAUCAUAUUUUAAUUUUGUACCAUAUUUAUCGAAGUAUCAAUACCAUACAAACCAAAAAACCAUAUAAACCCGAAUCAUAUAAACUGAAUGCAGUUAGUAGUAGCCAACUGUUUUUUUUUUGAGACAAGUAGCCAACUGGUACGCAACGCACAACUUGUUCGUAAUGAUGGGCUAGCCCCAUCUAAGGGCCUUAAGCGUUUUGUUUCUUCGAAGGCUCCUCCAAGUUUGGAAGCUUCCAAAAGCUUAUGGGCCUGUUUUUUUUUCUUCCCUGUGGUUUUUAAUCGGUUUUUGUUUGUUUUUCCCGUUUCAUCUCUACUUCUUCUCCACUUUUUCACUCGGUUUUGUUCCUUUUUCAUCUGAAUUUGUUUGCUCUUUUCCUUUUAUUUUUUAUUUGAAUAACAUAGUGAGCAUUUUCCAAAUUUCAUGUUUUUUAAUUUAUGAACAUUCUUUGAUUUAGUGAGCAUUUUUUAAAUUUAGGAUUUUUUCCCAAAUACCUCAUUUAAAAAAAAAUCAUGAAUUUUUAAAUUCAUGAACUUUUUUCAAAUGCACACACUUUUUUUAGUUGACGAACAUUUUCUGAAUUUCAUGAAUUUUUCUAAAUGUUUGAAUCUUUCUUCAAAUCCGCAAACAUGUUUUCAAUUUGUUAUUGAUUUUUAAAUUUGCAAAUAUUUAUUGUAUUACUUGGACAUUUUUUAAAAUUUUCAAAUGUUUUUUGAAUUCAUUAACAUUUUUUCAAAUCAACACAUAUUUUUUGCAUUCGUAUUUAUUAAAAUUUUGGAACUUUUUUUCACUCAUGAACCAGUAAAAAUAGAGAAAAUGAGCAAAAAAGCGAGCCAAGGCAAGCGAGCGAGCAAGGCGAGGGCAUGAGCGAACACCUUUUUUGGGCCACGACACACUGACUACGCACGAGUGCGCACUAACGACCUAGCGCUGAAGCACCAAAUAGGGGCUUCUGGGCUAAACUUGGGUUUCAACCAAGCUAGAUUCUAGCCUGAACUAUGGAAGUACCUGGUUUUAAGCCCAUCAACAGGGAAAUUAAUCCUUUUUAUUUAGGAAAGGCCUUCAUGGCUUCAAAUAAUAGUCUCCUGAGGUUCUGAACACUGGUGGGUCAGGCCGGGCGUGGACUCAUCUUAUCUUUGGCCAGACACAAAGCUAGACUCUCGGGCCCAUCCUGAAAACAUAUGUAAGGGAAGCUAGGGAUUAUCUAGGGGGCUAAGGGGGGAGGGGAUCACAUUCUAGAUCAUCUUGGAGCUAGGGUUUUCAUCUAUCCCCAUCUCCCUUCUCUCUAAUGCCAGGUCGUGAGCGGGUAAUCCUAGAAACAAAUCUUUCAGAUCACCCAGUGAGCACUCGAUCAAUAUAAUCACUGUUGGGGAUAUAACCCCACGAUAUGACCCACCAUAUUGUGCCAGGUCUUAUUAGUGGCGGCUGAUGCUUCAAGACUCAAGGCAUGCCGGAGCACUCUAGCCGGGGUUAGCGGGGCGACUCGCCAAGCGGCCCGGCUUGAGGCCCAACAUCCAAAGAUGGAGGCUCAUGCUCAUAAGUGCAAGUCGCCUAGAGUUUCCUUGCUUACAGAAUAAAGCGAGUUAGAAACAGUCUAAGUCACGGGUCCUAGUACGACCCAGACUCUUGUAAGCCCAGGGCCUCGACCUUUAUAUAAAGGCGAGUUCCUGAGGUAGAUAUGGCUAAGUUACAAUCGUUCAAUAGCUAGCUCAAGUGAAUCUGCUCCCUUGUAAUUGAUCAUCCAACAGUAAACAAUAAGCAGGACGUAGGCUAUUACCUUGAUCGUGAGGGACCGGACCUGGGUAAAUCCACGUCUCUCAAUCUGAUCAACCCCGGGAAGCUAACCGCCCGGUUGCGAUGGACUCACGACUAAGUCCUCACACUAGGACAUGUGAUGUGACAAAACUACGGCAGUCGGCGCCCACCGUGGGGCCAACACACGGUGGUUUCGAGUUCUUGAAGGGCUCUUUCCCAGGGAUCGAGCGGUACACUGUUGGUAGGAUGACGAAGAGUCGCCGUGGCAAACUUUACAUCGACGAUGCCGUUUGGGGCCUCGAGGUCGACUCAACCGAGUACGGGUACCGGGUCCCCUUCGGUAAAAUCCAUGUCUUCAUCGGCAAGAUCGACGGAUCUGAGCCUGAGCCGGACUUCUACACUGACCUGGUCGAGCCGGCUCGGCGUGCGCAACCCACCGAGUUUCAAGCUGGCCACAACCAUGUCUUUGUUGGUUUCACGCAAGGUGUGGAACUUGCGGAAAACUCCACGUCUAGAGGAGAGACUCUCGUCUACCCAGGUGAUGAGUCCUCAAUGGGAGACAUAGAGUUAAUUUAUUAGCUUAAUGACGGCGGGCCUGGGGGCUGUGCCGACGGCAAAAUUAUUCCGGACCCCUAUGAGCCGCCGUGCCGAGCCGCCAUCUUUAUGACGGGGACGUUGCUGGCUCUCAACUCUUCGGUGGCUGGAGCGAUGGUGACAAGUGACCCUUCAGCUCCAGCCGCUGGUGUGUCCAGCUCGAUCAGGCCGCCAUUUCAAGUCUUAUCUGAGUUGAUGACCGCCCUGACGACCUUGCUGGUGAUGUCUACUACAUAACUUUAUUCUUGUAGACUCGUGUUGGGCCUCCAAGCAUAGAGUUUUGUAGGACAUUCACAAUUUUCCCUCAAGUGGAUGACCUAAGAUUUAUCAAUCCGUGGGAGGUGUAUUCUUAAGAUGGUCCCUCUCAAACAACCCUGCAAUCAAAUAAUAAGAAGUCUCUUGUGUCCCCAACACACCAAAUACAAUGGUAAAUUGUAUAGGUGCACUAGUUCGGCGAAGAGAUGGUGAUACAAGUGUAGUAACAAUAGUAGAUAUUGAUUUUUGUAAUAGGAAAAUAAGAAACAACAAGGUAGCAAGUACUGGAAAAUGAGGCCUAGGGUCCGUACUUUCGCUAGUGGAAUCUCUCAACAAUGCUAAUAUAAUUGGAUCAUAUAACCAUCCCUCAACGUGCGAUGAAGAAUCACUCCAAAGUUCUUAUCUAGCGGAGAACAUAAGAUGAAUUUUUUGUAGGGUACGAAACCACCUCAAAGUUAUCCUUUCGGAUCGAUCUAUCCAAGAGUUCGUACUAAAAUGACACCAAGUUAUCCUUUCUGAUCUAUCUAUCUAAGAGUUCAUACUAAAAUAACACCAUAUGAUAGACAUCAACCAACUCUAAUGUCACCUAGAUACUCCAAUGUCACCACGAGUAUCCGUGAGUUGAUUAUAUGAUAUGCAUCAAACAAUUUCAGUUUCAUAAUACUCAACCCAACACAAAGAACCUCAAAGAGUGCCCCAAGAUUUCUACCGGAGAAACAAAGACGAGAACUUGCAUCAACCCCUAUGCAUAGACUACCCCAAUGUCACCUCGGGAAUCCGCGAGUUGAGUGCCAAGAUAUACAUCAAGUGCUCUCAAAUCCAACAAAGUGUUCAAUCCGAUAAAAGUGAAAUCUCAAAGGGAAAACUCAAUUCAUCACAACAAGAUAGAGAGGGGAAAACACCAUAUGAUCCAACUAUAUUGACAAAGCUCGCGAUACAUCAAGAUCAUGCCAAAUCAAGAACACGAGAGAGAGAUUAAACACAUAGCUACUGGUACAAACCCUUAGCCCCGAGGGUGGACUCGUCCUCCUCAUCAUGGUGGCCAUCAGGAUAAUGAAGAUGGCCUCUGGUAAUGUUUUCCACCUCUGGUAGGGUGCCGGAACAGGGUCUAGAUUGGUUUUUUGUGUCUACAGAGGCUUGCGGUGGUGGAACUUCUGAUCUAGGGUUAUUUCUGGAGGUUUCUGUAUUUAUAGGAGUUUUUUGGCGUUGGUUUCACGCGAAGAUGGGCUUCGAGGGGCCCAUAACCCACCAACACAUGGGCAAGGCACCUGGCUCACCUGGUAGGUUGUGCUCACCUCCUUCACCUUCUGAUCUUCCCAUGAAGCUUCUAGUGCCUCUUCUGUUCUAAAAAAACAUCAAAAAGUUUCGCUGCAUUUGGAGAACUUUGAUUUCCGCACAAAAAACAACACCAUGGUAGUUCUGCUGAAAACAACGUCAGUCCAUGCUAGUUUCAUUUAAAUUAUAAUAUAAAAUUGCACCCAAACCAUAUAAAAUUGUUGUAAACAUGGCAUGAAUACUUCAUAAAUUUAGAUACGUUGGAGACGUAUCAGCUAGCGACUAAAGUUACUGCGGAAAACCAGGAAGAACGCAAUGCAGAGAUUGCAAAGAUCCGGGAGCAUAUGACUAAAGCCCAGGAGGAUAUUAAUACUGAGAGUACCCAGACAUCCACAUUGCAAGCUCAUAUCCAUGUAGAGCUGGAGCGCCUAAAGUCAGAGGCUUGGCACUUAAACCUGGAUCAGAACGCCUCUAAUGCAGUUCAUCGGAGGAGUGAUACGUCUCAGUCGUAUCUAUAAUUUUUGAUUGUUCCAUGCCAAUAUUCUACAACUUUUACAUACUUUUGGCAACUUUUUAUACUAUUUUUGGGACUAACAUAUUGAUCCAGCGCCCAGUGCUAGUUCAUGUUUGUUGCAUGUUUUUUGUUUCGCAGAAAAUCCAUAUCAAACGGAGUCCAAACGGGAUAAAAACGGGCCGAGAUUAUUUUUGGAAUAUUUUUGAAUUUUGGGAAGUGGAAUCAACGUGAGACGAUGCCCGAGGGGGCCACGAGGCAGGGGGCGCCCCCUAGGGGGGUGGGCGCGCCCCUGACCCUCGUGGCCACCCCGUAAGGCAGUUGGUGCCCUUCUUUCGCUGCAACAAAGCUAAUAUCCGGAGAAAAAUUGUGUUCAAAGUUUCAAUCCAAUCGGAGUUACGGAUCUUCGGGAAUAUAACAAACGGUGAAAAGGCAGAAUCAGGAACGCAGAAAAGAGAGAGACAGAGAGACAGAUCCAAUCUCAAAGGGGCUCUCGCCCCUCCCAUGCCAUGGAGACCAUGGACCAGAGGGGAAACCCUUCUCCCAUCUAGGGAGAAGGUCAAGGAAGAAGAAGAAGGGGGCUCUCUCCUCUCUCCCGGUGGUGCUGGAACGCCGUCGGGGCCAUCAUCAUCACCGUGAUCUACACCAACACCUCCAUCAUCUUCACCAACAUCUCCAUCACCUUCCCCCAUCUAUCUACAGAGGUCCACUCUCCUGCAACCCGCUAUACCCUCUACUUGAACAUGGUGCUUUAUGCUUCAUAUUAUUAUCCAAUGAUGUGUUGCCAUCCUAUGAUGUCUGAGUAGAUUUUUGUUGUCCUAUCGGCAAUUGGUGAAUUGCUAUGAUUGGUUUAAUUUGCUUGUGGUUAUGUUGCUGUCCUUUGGUGCCCAUCAUAUGAAUGCGCGCGUGGAUCACACCAUAGGGUUAGUUGUAUGUUGAUAGGACUAUGUAUUGGAGGGAAAGAGUGACAGAAGCUUCAACCUAGCAUAGAUAUUGAUGCAUACGGGAUUGAAGGGGGGCCAAUAUAUCUGAAUGCUAUGGUUGGGUUUUACCUUAAUGAACGUUACUAGUUGUGGAUGCUUGCUAAUAGUUCCAAUCAUAAGUGGAUAGAAUUCCAAGUCAGGGAUGACAUGCUAGUAGUGGCCUCUCCCACAUAAAACUUGCUAUCGGUCUAGUAAAGUAGUCAAUUGCUUAGGGACAAUUUCACAACUCCUACCACCACUUUUCCACACUCGCUAUACUAACUUUAUUGCGUCUUUAUCUAAACAGCCCCUAGUUUUUAUUUACGUGCUCUUUAUAUUCUUGCAAACCUAUCCAACAACACCUACAAAGUCCACUACAAAAAAAGACACAUCCGUGACAUUUUGGGCCGAACGAAUUUUUUUUCUGUCAUACAUAUGACACUUCUAUGAUGAUAAUUGUGACAAAACCCGGUAUCAUCAUAGAUGUGGUGGGCUCCUACUUCUAUGACAAAAAAUCAUGACAGAAAAUGGGCUUUUCGUCCUGGGCGGGCCGGUGACGCAGCUGCAUGACAUUCUUUGGGCCGUCCAUGACGGAAAAAACCGUGGUAGAAGCGAGGGCGAGGAAAAUUUUGGGGAGUUCCCGGUUACGGUGGGAGGUCGGGGGCUGAGCGAUGCGCGUUUCUCUCAUACACGUACGCGCGUGUGUGCGGGGCGUUGGCUCUAACUGAACCCGAGCGAGGCGUUGGGCUCUAACUGAACCCGAGCGAUUGCACUGCAGGCUACGCGUUACUGAACCCGAGCGAUCGAUCGAUGGCUGUUAACUGAACCCGAUCAAGCGAUUCCUUCGCUACUUCUGCUAACUAAUGCCGAUCGAUUGGAUGAACUAUGAGCGUUGCGGGGGGGGGGGGGGUGGAUGAACAGUGAGCGGUGGCGUUGCCUCUGGAUGAACAGGACCCCAUGGUGUGGAGGGCUGGAUGAACAGUAGACGGUGGAGGGGUGCCCGUGGAGGGGUGGAUGAACAGGACCCCGUGGUGUGGAGGGCUGGAUGAAUAGUAGACGGUGGAGGGGUGCCCGUGGAGGGGUGUAUNNNNNNNNNNNNNNNNNNNNNNNNNNNNNNNNNNNNNNNNNNNNNNNNNNNNNNNNNNNNNNNNNNNNNNNNNNNNNNNNNNNNNNNNNNNNNNNNNNNNNNNNNNNNNNNNNNNNNNNNNNNNNNNNNNNNNNNNNNNNNNNNNNNNNNNNNNNNNNNNNNNNNNNNNNNNNNNNNNNNNNNNNNNNNNNNNNNNNNNNNNNNNNNNNNNNNNNNNNNNNNNNNNNNNNNNNNNNNNNNNNNNNNNNNNNNNNNNNNNNNNNNNNNNNNNNNNNNNNNNNNNNNNNNNNNNNNNNNNNNNNNNNNNNNNNNNNNNNNNNNNNNNNNNNNNNNNNNNNNNNNNNNNNNNNNNNNNNNNNNNNNNNNNNNNNNNNNNNNNNNNNNNNNNNNNNNNNNNNNNNNNNNNNNNNNNNNNNNNNNNNNNNNNNNNNNNNNNNNNNNNNNNNNNNNNNNNNNNNNNNNNNNNNNNNNNNNNNNNNNNNNNNNNNNNNNNNNNNNNNNNNNNNNNNNNNNNNNNNNNNCAUAAGAGGUCCGUUUCAUCCGUUUUGCGGUACGCCACACCCCUCUUGAUCAACAGGACCCCCGUUUCGACCGUAGGAGGUCCGUUUCAUCCGUUUUGCAAUACGCCAUACCCCGCCCGAUCAACAGGACCCCCGUUUCGACCAUAGGAGGUCCGUUUCCUCCGUUUUGCGGUACGCCAGACCCCUCCCGAUGAACAGGAUCCCACUUCGAAUGUGGCCGGUCGAACACAAGGCCGUUUCCUCCGUUCCGUGGUACGCCAGGCCUUGUUUCCAUCGUCUGUUCUGUCCAAGCCCUCCCGAUGAACACAACCACACAUUCCGUUCUGACCCAGCAGGUUGGCUCCCCAUGAACACGACGACGCCGCUGUUUCUCCAUUCCGACCCAGCCAAUGUACACGAGCCCUAGUCGUACGUAUAUAUGCGCGAGUAGGCGUUCGAUACCCCGCCCGUAUGUACACAUACGUGGCCAUAUUUUCUUUCUUGCACCCUGGCCGCUGUACGUACGUGUACAUGCUACGUGCGCGCCUCUACUACGACAUGUGCGCGCCUCUACUACGACACGUGCGCGCCUCUACAUCGACCAGUAUAUAUGUACGUACACGUUCGCGACCAGAAUGACAAUGCUACGUACGCUUCGACCAGGUGGGUCCCGACUGUCAGGCCCUUCCUUGCGUGCGAAGAUGUAGCUGGUGGGUCUCAGCAGUCAUGGGGGCGAAUCAUUUUUUUCGAACGCACUUCCUUGCGUGCGAAGAUGUAGCUGGUGGGUCCCAGCAGUCAGGGGGGCGAAUCGUUUUUUUCCGGACGCACUUCCUUGCGUGUGAAGAUGUAGCUGGUGGGUCCCAGUAGUCAGGGGGAAACGUUUUUUUCGCGAAAUACAGUGACCCGUCUGGUGGGUCCCAGUUGUCAGGUGGAGGAAUCAUUAUUUUCCGCGUAAUAAGGAGGCACUUCCUUGCUGCGGCCGUGGACCCAGCUGUCAGCCUUUCCACGUACAGUCCAGAUCCGAUGGAAGCUGUUCAUUGACCAUGUUGACCACGCCGUGCCGAGAGCACCAGGGCGGUGGACGACGGCGAGGCCUAGGAAGGGGACGAUGCAGCAGUGGAUGCCCACACGUAGAGGAGUACGAGGGUUCACUGGUUCACUGCGGUGUGAGGCUGCCGUCACCGCAGAAUAACAGGGGGUGUGGGUGAGUAGAGGGAUGGCCUGGCUAGCGAUGGGAGUAGUAGGCGGCGGUGAGGCCUCCGCCACAUCGCAUCUGGCCACGGGAGGCAGGAGCACGAGGCACGACCGGCGCUGGUUUGGGCGGCUCGAGCAAGAAGACCAGAGGUUGAAGAAGCACUACGACCGUUGGAUGGACAUCGUAUGGUCACUGGAGCUAGAAUCGUGCAUAUUGACUAAGUUGACAAAGCCCUCCAUCCCCGUCAACUUAGUAGGCCCACAAGUCAGCCUGCCACUAUACUGGGUCCUAGCUAAUAGGGGGAGUAAUCAUUUUUUUGUGCGUAAUAAGGAGGCACUUCCUUGUGUGCAAAAAUAUAGCUGGUGGGUCCGAGCUGUCAGCGACGGUAAUGUUUUUUUCGCGAAAUACAGAGGCCCUUUCGGUGGGUCCCUGAUGUCAGGUGGAGGAAUCAUUAUUUUGUGCGUAAUAAGGAGGCAUUUCCUUGCGUGCGGCCGUGGACCCAGCUGUCAGCCUCUCCACGUACAGUCCACUUCAGAUGCAUGUCGGUCAUUGACCACGUUGACCAGGCCGCGCCGAGAGCACCAGGACGGUGGAUGACGUCGAGGCCUAGGAAGGGAACAACACGGAGGCAGGGAAGACUCGGCAGUUGUUUCCCACGCGGAGGGGAGUACGACUGUACGAGGGUUUACUUGUUCGUCUGCCAUCGCCGGAGAAUAACAGCAGGUGUGGGUGAGUAGAGGGAUGGCUAGGCCAGCGAUGGGAGUACGGUGGGGGCGGUGAGGCCUGCGCGGCAGCACAGCCGACCGCGGGGAGGAGGGAGCAGGCAGUCCUACCGGCGCUUGUUUUAGCGGCUGGAGCAGGAAGAGCAGAGAUUGAAGAAGCACGACAGCCGUUCGAUGGACAUCCAACAGUCACUGCUUGUGCAUCAACCUUUUUUUAGGAAAGCCUCAAAUUUGUGGAAAACAACAUACAACCCAUCUGCCAUUAUUUCUAAUAAUUUACAACCCAUUUGCUAAUUCUUAAGGUUUUUUUUGGAGCCCAUAUUCUUUUUGUUAGCAUUACAACCCAUAUUGAGGCCAAGGUUAAAAAAUUAUACGAAAUUUUGCAUAUUUUGGUGCGGUCCGAACUGUUUUUAAUCCCGAAAUUUCCACUCACAUUCAAACUGAUUUUAAAAAGAAAUGUAUAUCAAUAUAAAAUCCAACAAAUUCUCCACGCAUAAAAAAUAAUGUAAUUUAAAAUCUCGAAAUGAAAAAAGAUAUUUGAAACUAAUUGCCGGUUUGAUGUGUUUUAAAAAUGUACAACCCAUUUCUCAUUACUAAUAGGCCAUUUUCUCGGCCAGCCGAAUGAAGCUCUCCUUGUGUUGAAAGAUUUGCAGCCCAACAGGCCUGACAAAGCGACUUACUUGGCAAAUCACAAAAAAACUGGGUUGUGGCCGUGGACCCAGCUGUCAGCCUCUCCAUGUACGGUACUCUUCUGAUGGAAGUCGGUCAUUGACCACAUUUACCACACUGCGCCGAGAGCACCAAGGCGGUGGACGACGGCGAGGCCUAGGAAGGGGACGACGCGGAGCCAGGGAAGACGCGGCAGUGGAUGCCCAGCGGAGAGGAGUUCGAGGGUUCACUGGUGCGGCUGCGGCGUGAGGCUGCCGUCGCCGCAGAAUAACAGGUGGUGUGGGUGAGUAGAGGGAUACCCUGGGCCAUCAGUGGUAGUAGUAGGGGGCGGUGCGGGUGGUGUGCCCGCACGAAGGCUAUGGGCUCUACGUCACUUACCACAAGCUCGCCCAUCACCAGAGCGUGUGUCCGCUCGCGCCCUGCAAAUGCCCGGUGCCCGUCUGCGGCUAUGAAGGCCCGCUGCUGGCGCUCUACCACCACAUCAGCAACACGCAUCCCAUGCCCGUGCAAAGGAUCCAGUACGGCAAGGUGCUCCAGCUGCAAGUUCCACUAUCGGAGCCACGACUCUUGCUGUUCGCGGAGGAGGACGGCCGCGUGUUUUUCUUGGUCGGCGGCGUGCUCGACAUCGGUGCGCCUAUCACCGUGUCGGUAGUCUGCAUUAGAGCGGGGGCGUCCCCACUGCUGCACUACGUGGCCAAGCUGUGGGCGAACGGCCCGCCGGGGGAGCCCAAAGGCACGACCGACACCAUCAAGGUGGAAAUGGAGGUGACAAGUAGCAAGGAUCCCAGCGACGUCGACGUGCAGGAGUUGACCUUCUUCACAGUUCUGCACAAGCUACUGGCCGGGGCUAAGCUGGCGUCCCUCCACAUUCAGAUUGACAAGCUCACUUCCUAAAUGUUUCUACAGUGCCUUCUAUUUAUCUUAGUAAUAUGCUAAUAUAGGGAUUACCUCGGUCUACUUUAGCUUAAGAAAUGGUGGGUUUUGGUGGCGAUGCAGCAAUUACUUCGACAUCAGAUCAGUAAUUUCCAACAGUCGAACGGAUAUUUUGUGUCUGUUGGAUAUAAAGUUCCUUUGGGUAAGAAGUACUAGAUAAAUAUAGAUGUAUGUAGACGUAUUUUAGUUACUGAUCCACUUUUUAUCCAUUUUGAUGACAAGCACUCCCUCCGUUCCACAAUACAUGCCUUCCAUUUGUCAAAAUAUAGAUAUAUCUAGACAGGUUUUAGUAUAUAGGUACAUCCAUGAUAGAGCCAGUCGGAUGGUUGAGAACACUACAAUUUGUAGCUACAGAUGCGUGUGUGACUCCCAGAUGUAGAAGCUGGGGGUCAUCAUCCUCCUUUUUGAGAAAAAACAGACGCCUGUGUGAGAGGACGAGUGCGUGCGUGCACCUCUUAUCUUCCUGUAUAACAUACUAAACUCAGAGUACAAGUUUUUGUGGGUGGCACGAUGGUGCGUGCGAGAAGUCCCGAGAGAUAGGUUUAAUGCGUCUAAAAAUACUAGCCUAUAGCUCGCCACGCAGCUAUUCCUGUCGAACGCCCCAUUAACCAUAAGAUAUGUAUACGACGGUGCCAGUUAUUGCACGUACACAGUAGAAAAAGUACACCACGGCUAAGAACACGUGCCCACGUAACGCCAUCCGAGAAUAGUGCCGCACUUCGAAACUAGAACCAUUAAUAAAUUUUGAGCUUGCGUCUCGUCACAUUCCAAAUUACUCCAUGCUAUAUUGAAUUGCAAACCUGUUCACACCGAUCACAACCUAAAUGGUUUCCCAUGUAGAAGUUAAUGCACUGCGCAUGAGUGUUUUGGGAUUAUUUGGUUUUCAUAAGAUGACUUACACACCUAGACGGAGGGAGUAGUACUAUGUUCUAAAUACUAGUAUGCCAAGAUGACUGCACAUUCGUCCUCAACUCCUCAUCCACAAAAACAAACAAGUCAUUCAACAUCCUUCCCUUGCGUCUGCCAUGGCCAGCGUGAGUUCUGGGUCGAGAGAUUACCACCAGGGAGAGGCGAGUAUGGAUGCGGAAGCACGAGAGAUGUCCCGCCUCGCUGCGAAAGCAGCCGACAUGUCCCGCCAUGCGGAAGUAGCAGCACAGAGGUCCCACCGCGCCGCUGAAGCAGCAUGGCGGUCCCGCCGCGCCGUUGAUGCAGCAGACUGGUCCGGCCGCACCGCGAAAGCAGCAGAGAUGUCCCGCCGUGCUGCGGCGGCCUGGGAAAAUUUCUCGCGGGCAGGCGACUGCUGUUACAGGAGCAUGCAUGUGAUCGUCCAUAGCCAGAUGGAUCAGAUCUCUGGCUGGGUGAGGUUGCAGGACGACAUGAAAGCCUCGUUUGAACAGGCUACCAGCAUCAUCCGAUAACUAAGGGAGGGCAAUGAGAGGCUCCGGGCCGAGUGCGACCUACUGAGGGCAAAGAUUGUCCGAAGUGCACACCAGCAGGAGGAGACCAGUGCCUUGUUGAAGAGGACCAGCGUCAUCGUCAAGAAACUUAUGGACGAGAAUGACAUGCUCCGCAUUGAGCGCCAAAGGCUGGUGGAGGAAUCCGUAGAUGCUCUCAAGCAGCGUCUUGAGGACACGAAAGAGCUCAUCGCCGCUCGCCGUGGAGACUAGUUCCCGCGGCCUGCAGCAACGCAUCAAGAAAGUAGAGAUCAGCGAGCCAGAUCCUUGUCUUCCUUCUUAUUUUUCCCUUGUGUAUUUCGGGCGUAGCCGCAUGUGGUUUUUUUAAUUAUCUUUCUAAUUAUGUAAGACAAUUAAUCGCCUUUAUAUAUUCAUCAGUCUUGCUAUAAGUCGCAGUAGAUGCUAUAUAGGUCCGUCGGAUCUUACAUCAAGAUCCGUGCUUUUAGAUUUUCUUUUUUCUCUCUUAAAUGUCAGUCGAGUGAGACAUAGCCACGCCAUUAAACAGAGGCUCGGGCGCCAUUAAUGGAGACCUAGGGAGAGAGGUAGACGGCAGAUGGAGGUCAAAGGGCUCUUCUCCCGAUAAGCACGCGUAGGGGUCUGAUCGCACGCCUCUCAUACUCAAAUAGCUACCCCGCAUGGCGCCUCCUAGCUAAUAAAAAAUGGGGACGCGUGGCGGCAUGUAAAUGGUAGUAAGUAGAACGCCCACGGUUUCAAUAAUACUUGUGUUUCCGAUUGUAAUGUGACAACACUUGUUCCAAAAUGACUUUGUUGAUUGUUAAUGUGUGCACCUUCGCAAAUCGAACAUGGCACCAAGCCAAGUUUCAUUAUUUUCAUGCGUGUUUUGGAUUUACAAGAAUUAAAAAACUAAGUUUCUCAAUGUUUCCAGCCCAGCCAUGAUGCCCAGAAUUUUGAUUUUCAUUCCCAUUUCUUGUAUGGAACCUAGAAAUUUACCCGAGGACACACAUGUGAUUUUUUAACCAACUUUGGUGCACUGUAACAUGUGCUUGUAUUUCAAAUUUGAAUUAUGCACACAAAGGUGACAUGUUCCCUCUCAGAACCACGAGCCUUCUUGAGAGAAGCUCCGAUUUGCAAGAAGCUUAUACCCAAAUUUGUUCCUAUUCGGCCAAUUUUUUUACCAUGGCAUGGUACUACCAUGACAUGACACCAAGCCAAGUAUCAUGCUUUUAAAACCAAGUUUCUCAAUGUUCUCGACCGAGCCACGAUGCCCAGAUGUUUGAAUUUUAUUCUCAUUUUUUGCAUGGGACCUAGAAAUUCACCCGAGGACACAAAUGUGAUUUUUCAACCAACUUUGGUGCACGGGAGCAUGUGCUUGUAGUUCAAAUUUGAAUUAUGCACAGUAAAUGACCAAAAACUCAAUUAAUGUGUAAAAAAGGCCAAAUGAAGCCGGAAUGAUUUCCAAAAUUUAACAGGGAACUCAUGUAGUUCUAUGUUGCCUUUGUAAAUAAACUCAAGGGGGGACAACGUAUAUCGUUUCACACUCAAAGGUGGCACGUUCCCUCUCAGAACCACGAGCCUUCUUGAGAGAAGCUUCGGUUUGCAAGAAGCUUAUACCAAAAUCUAUUCCUAUUCGACCAAUUCUUUUACCACAACAUGGUAGUACCAUGACAUGACACCCAUGCCAAGUUUCAUGAUUUUCAGACGUGUUUUGGAUUUACAAGAAUUUAAAAACCAAGUUUCUCAAUGUUCUCGGUCGAGCCACGAUGCCCAGAUGUUUGAAUGUUAUUCUCAUUUCUUGCAUGGGACCUAGAAAUUCACCCGAGGACACAAAUGUGAUUUUUCAACCAACUUUGGUGCACGAGAGCAUGUGCUUGUAGUUCAAAUUUGACUUAUGCACAUUAAAUGACCAGAAACUCAAUUAAUGUAUAAAAACGACAAACAAACCCGAAAUAAUUCCAAAAUUUAAUAGGGCACUCAUGUAGUUCUAUGUUGCCUUUGUUAAGAAACUCAAGGGUGGGGGGGGGGCAGCGUAUAUCGUUUCACACUCAUAGGUGGCACGUUCCCUCUUAGAACCACAAGCUUGCAAAUCGGCCCAAUUUUUUACCACAACAUGUUAGUGCCAUGACAUGACACCAUGCCAAGUUUCUUGAAUUCUAGACAAGUUUUGGAUUUACAUGAAUUUAAAAUUUAAGUUUCUCGAUGUUCUCGGCCGAGUCACGACGCCCAGAUGUUUGAAUUUCAUUCUCAUUUCUUCCAUGGGACCUAGAAAUUCAACCAAGGACACCCAUGUGAUUUUUCAACCAACUUUGGUGCACCGGAGCAUGUGCAUGCAGUUCAUAUUUAGAUUAUGCACUUUAAAAGUCCAGAAACUCAAUUAAUGUAUAAAAAGGCCAAAUGAACCCGAAAUAAUUCCAAAAUUUAACAGGGCGCUCAUAUAGUUCUAUGUUGCCUCUGUAAAGAAAAUCAGGGGGGAGGCAGCGUAUAUCAUUUCGCACACAAAGGUGACACAUUCCCUCUCGGAACCACGAGGCUUGUUGAGAGAAUCUCCGGUUUUGGAAGAAUCUUAUACCAAAACUUGUCCCAAUUCAGCCAAAAAUUAUACAUAUGAAAACAUGGUUUAGAUUAUCCCGAACAUCUCGCUACCUAGACCAAUAAUGUACUAUGAUUUGCAUUCAACAUAAAAUGGAUACAAAUAUUUGAAUCGGAGAGCGCAUGGUACAUGUAGUUCAUAGUGAAAUAUGAUUACUGCUAUAUGCAUGUUUUUUUAAUCAAGAUAAUAUUUAAAUUAUUUUAUAACUUGACAACAAUCGUGUUCAAAUAAGGAAAAUUGAUUCAAAUUUAGUCCGUAUGGUAGACGACAAUAUAUAUGUUCACAUGGUGGAGUAAAAUGUUCAUAUAUGAUGGAAGAUCAAAAUGUACGACUACAUCAACUAUAAACCGCAAGGUCACCUAACGAUAUAUUCGAAUUCAAUGUAACGUGGAUUCAAAAAUUGAAAUUCGAGAUCAUGGCAUCUGUAGUCAUAUAAAAAGGGACAUUAGUCUUUCUUUGGUGGGAACUGAUUUGUUUUUUGUUGCUGUUGAGGGAAGUGGAAUCGAUUUGGUACUGUGCAGGGUAAUCUUGUUCUCCCGAUUUUUUUUACAUUUUUCUUGUAGUUUUUUCAAUGGCAUCUAUAGAAAUAUAGUAAAAGGGGACAUGACUCUCUUGUGUCUUGUAUGAAUUGUUUUUUUACACAUUAACUUUGUUCUGCCGAACAAGGAAUCCGCACCUUGUUAUCCCGAAAUUUUCAAGCUCGAGUAUGUUUUGUCUCACCUGCUUUGAAACUCCCACUUCUUCGCCCCCCGCCGCACCUUGUUAUCCCAAAAUUUGGACGCGCGCGAGAACUCCCUCCUCAUCAGAAAUUGCUCCCGCAGCCUAGACACACGAAAUCCCCCUUCUACCCCUCAGCCGAAAAUGAAGCCCCUCGAUCUCACGGGGCUGUCGGUGCUUGAUACCGAGCAGACAUGGCGGGUCUCCAUCGACGACACCGUCGCCGGCCACAUCAUCCACGGCAUCUCUCCCCCAUGUCGUUGCUUCCUUGGCGGCGACUUCCAUAACAACACUAGCUACAGCUGCUCCGGCUCUCGCUCACGUUGUGGCUCUAUUCUUGCUGUCGUUCGUGCUGCUGCUCUGCUCUUGCUCUCGCUUGCGCUGCUGCUGCUGCUGCACGACCUCCGGCAGCUACAGGAGUUGCUACUUUAGCACUCGCUCGCGGUGCUACUGCACGACUUGCUCUCUGCUAGUGUGUUCCCUGCUCGAGCGUCUGCUGAUUUAGAUCACUGCUUCUCUGCUACUAGUGCUCGAACGCCCUAAACAUCUAUUGCAAUGCUCUAUUACUAGUUCAAUCAUUUUCGACAGUAAAAUUCAGUUUCGACUAUGAAGUUCAUUUUCUUCAGUUAAGUUCAGAGUGAACAAUACUUAUAGCAUCUGUCGGAGCGGCCGUGGCGCGGCUGAUGCGUUUUACAUCUAGCACUUUUUGGUGAUGUAUUUUACAUCAUCUAUUGCAGAUGAUAUUAGGGUCCCACUUCAGAUUAACGUUGUCUGUCUUGUCAUGCUUCAGCCUCGUUGCCGUACACCUUAGCAGAGCUGCUCCAAUGAUGGAACCGUCCAUCACAGCGGAGCAGUACCCACGGUGCCAUUUCCAGAGGCCUCAGAUGUUCUUACUUGCCUCCGACAGUCACACCAGCAUCAUCACCAUCCUCCACGUCCAACCCAAUGAUGCUGAGGUCCACAAGGCUAUGCCAAAGAGGUUGUACACUCGUCGCAUCACUUUGUUUCUCCAUUCCUCUAUUCUUCCAAUUCAUGUGAGCCAAACACCCAGGUUGACUGAAAUCCUAUGUUUCCAAAUGCUUUGUUUUGCACGUGCAUUCCUAUUCUAUUCCUGUGUUUUUCCUGUCCCUGCGUUUAUAGAAUCCUCCAAUUCUAAGGAGCCCUUACAGAUUUACUUCAUUUUUAGAUCGGCAUCAAAGAAAACUCUGUGUGUUAUGUCCUGCUCCUGCCGUGCCAUCAUCCACCCCACCUGAGGUGCACCAUCGAUAGAAGCAUUCACUGCAGUAGAGAUCCCCCCUACAGACUUUCUUUCGCCGCCUCUGAUCAUCUUCCCCGUUGCCGGCAGCCACGCCAACUGCAUUACCAUCAUCGACUGAGCAGAUGAACUUGAGGACUACACAGUUCCGGAAGAGAGGUUGCAGUCUUUCAUGUUUGCUUACGUUAUACAUCGGUUAUUAUUACUUGCUACUUUAUCGUUCAAUCUUGAUUUUUGAAUUGCCCAUGGGUCUCAUAUCGAGCCAGCAACGAAUAGUAUCUGUCUACUAUCUGGUUCAUCUGGGGUCUUGUAUGUGGUUCAUGUUGGGUGGGCAACAAACAAUAGAUGAUCCAUUGUCUAUCUUUUUAAACUGAAGCUAUAAUCUACCUGCUACCAUCAGUCUUGAUUUUUUCAUGCACCCCUUAGGCCUUACAAAAUCUAACUAUUUUUUUAUUAUGCAUGUCAGAUAUUGUACACAAUCAUACUGAACAUGUAGAGAAAAAGAGAAGACCGUUGCGUGCGAAUAUAAUGUCAUGCAGACGCCGCUCCAUGGUGGGCGAAGUGUUGCCCUCCUGCAUUUCCAGAUUGUAUUCCAGAGGAAGAUAACUGUUCAGAUGGAGAUUCAGUAGGAGCCAACCAUGCCUGUUUACCACCUGAGGUGUUUGCUCUAACCUGGCAUGCUGAUGUUGGUCAUAUCAUGCAUAUGGCGCCUUGCAUUGCUUACAUUAUACAUCUUAUAUGUCAUCAGCUUAGUUUAGAUUUGCUUUGUGUGAAUGCCACCUGUUUGGUUUCUAUAUCAUACUCCCACCAUUCCUAAAUAUUUUUACUUUUUAGAGAUUUCAACAAGUGACCAGCUUUUUAGUCAUCGUAUAUGUGAAUUGUAUCGUGCCAUAUUUUUUUCCAUAAUGUAUUCCAUUUGUCAACAAUGUUUAUACAUUCAUCUACUCUUCUUGUGCAUCAGCCAUUUGAGUCGGUCAUGGGAAAAUUUGGAGUGAAAACAAGGUCUUCUGAGCAGUCAGUGCUACCUGUCGAUGCAGAUUUCUUGCUGGUUACAGAUAGCUCCUUAGAGGAGGAUUCAAAGAGAGAUGACCAGUCGUAUCCCCCCCGAGGUGCAUGCUCUAACUUGGCUGGGUUAUAUUGCUCAUAUCAUGCAUAUGUGUCUUGCAUUGCCAUGCCAUCUGCUUAGAUUAGACAUGCUUUGUGUGAAUGCCUCCUGUUUGCUUUCUAUAUCAGAUAUGUGAAUUAUGCAAUGCCAUGUUUUCAGCCAGUUAUCAUAUAUGUGAAUUAUGCACCACCAUGGAGCCAGGCAUCAUAUAUGUGAAUUAUCUCAUGCCAUAUUUUUUUUCAUUACGUAUUUCAUUUGUUGACAAUCUAUGUAUAUUGAACUACUCUUCAUGUGUAUCAGCCAUUUGAGCUGGGUAUGGAAAAGUUUGGAGUGAAAACAAGGUCUUCAGAGCAGGCAAUGGUACCUGUUGAAGCAUAUAUCUCGAUGGUUACAGGGAGCUCCUCAGAGGAGGAUUCAGAGACAGAUGACCAGUCCUAUAUCCCACCUGAGGUGUAUGCUCCAAGUUGCAAUGUUUAUAUUUCUCAUAUGAUGCAUAUGGUGUCUUGCAUUGCUUAGUUUAGACAUCAUAUGCACAAUAUUGAAUUCUAUCAGCUUAGUUUAGAGAUCAUACAUGCGAGUGCCAGCUGCUUAGUAUAUGAAUCAAUUAUGUCAAUUAUAUCAUGCCAUCCUGUAUACUUAGACAACAUGUAUGUGAAUUAUUUCAUCCCAACCUAUUUUAGAAAGACAUCAUAUAGUUUUGUCAUGUCAUCCUGUUUAGGUACUCAUCAUAUGUUGAAUUAUGCCGUUAUAUCCUGUUAAGUUAUCCAUCAUAUAUCUGAAACUGUGUCAUGCUAUCCUGUUUAGUUAGGCAUCAUAUAUGUGAAAUUGUGUCAUGCUGUCCUGUUUGGUUAGACAACAUAUAUGUGAAUUACCACAUCUGUCUAUCAUACAAUGUCUGUACGUUCAAUUUCUUUUCUUGUUUAUCAGCCAUUUGAAUUGGAGGGGGUGAUGGCAGUAUCUAAGGGAGCAAAAACCCGUUCUUCACAAAAGACAGUGCUACCCAUCGAUGCAGAUAGAACCAUGGUUGUACUGGCCCACAAACUAGCCCCACCACACAUAAUCGAGACUCUUCCAGAUUGCACACUUACACCGUUGGGCAGAGAACCAGCUACAACCCAUCUAACUGCAACCCCAGCGGAUAGUAACCCACUUAUAGUUGACAAAGCACCAUGUCCACCACAGAGUACCCCCACACGAGCAGUUUGUAAAGCUACUGUAGUGCCCAAAGCACAAAGACCACCACAGCUAACCCAAACUCCACGUUUAAAGUAGAAGAGCAACUAUUCUCAGGUCAGAUUCCGUAGCUAUGGUCCAUACUCCUUUGUUGUUGCAUCACUGUAUUUACUCAUACCAAUUACUUUUGAAUUUGAAGGAUCCAAUUGGAACUCCAAUGGUGCAACAGGUAUGUUUUAAACCCAUUUCUUUAAUUGGAUUGUUGUUCUAACUUCUUGCUCUAUGUUGAUUUCAGUUUAAGUUGUAUAAACAAUUAUGUUCUCAUGUGAUGCGCAUUACAAGUGCUGCCAAUGCUGUGUAGUUUCUCACACUUAUAUUCUGUCUAUGCUGCUGUGUCUUAAAAAUAUAUGAGUUGAACUGUGUCUCUAUCUUGAUUAGGGAACAUAAACUAGAGUGAUAUGGACAAUACAGUGACCAUAGUACAUAGAUAUAUGUUUGUUUCAUGCUGUUAUCCUGUCCACCUUACUACUGAACCGGUUUACCAAAAUGAGUUUCGUAUACUACAGGCUAAACCUGUGAUGUGUCUGCUUGUUUCUCUUGUAGUAUGCAAAUAGAAUAUUGGAGAAGAGCACCCCACUAUGCAAUGGUAGAGAAAGUAAUGCAGAUAAGGUUCAAGAUAGUGAGACAACCCUGUUGGUCUCCAAGAAAGGUGAUAAAAAUGAUCUUGUAGACAGUGAGAAAACCCCAUAGUCCUGCGUUGAUGUAGUGUUCGAGUUACUGGCCAGUACCGCUGGCACAAGCUCUUUGAACUCGCUGCCUGAAUCACUUUAGCUUCUUCAGUCUCAGCUACAAGCUGAAAGGCAUCAGUCAGCUGUGCUGCGGCAAGAAGUCGAAGGACUGAGGAAGUCCCUGCAGAAUUCAGAUGUGUACUUUCUUGUGCAAUAGCAAGCGCUGGAGGAUUUAAGCGCCAAACAAGAGAAAGUUAAUAAGCUUGCUAAGCAUCUUGCCAGCAUUAUGGGUACCCAGGAUAUUGUUUCUUGAACUCUUCCGAAGUGGUUUCAGUUCUGGACUUGUUUUGCUACGACGUUUAUAUGCUGCUUUGUUCCCUAUAUUUGCACUGGUGGCGAACGUUGAUGCCCAGUGGAUGUAAUAUGUGUAAUAGCCGUGAUAGCCUAGCAUAAGUUGCUUGCUUAUUUAUUUCCUUGUUGUCUUGUUUAUUUGUUUGCUUGUAGUCAGCGCAGUUCUUUUUCUGUGGUUUGCUAGUGGCUGCAAUAACCUAUUUUUUAAAACUAGGCCACAAUAACCAUGGGCUAAUAUUUACUGUAGUGACACUAGGCCUCCUACGGGCCGUAGAAAUAGUGGGCCUUUUACGGGCCGUAGAAACAGUAGGCCUUCUACGGGUCGUAGAAACAAUGGGCCUUCUAUGGGCCGUAUCAUCAAUGGGCCUUAUACGGGCCGUAUGAUCGAUUGGCCAAACAUGGGCCAAUAACAGGCCGCAUUAUGGCCGUAAAUGGGCUAGAGUUGGAAUCAUCCGUUCAUGGGCCGACCAUAACAGGCCAUCGUUAAUAGGCCAUAUUUGAUGACGCUAUGAAAAUGACCCAACGUAUUAACGGACCACAAAUGGGCCGACUGUAACCACGGGCUGAAUUUGGCCCACAAGCAAAAAGUGACAGUAACAGCCGUAAGUAAACGAAUGCUGGAAAUGGGCCCAAGAAUAAAUGGGCUCUUAGAAGGCCAAAAGAUAACAUGGGCUGGAAACGGCCCAACGGAAUAACAAGCCGUUAAUGGGUAUAAAGUGAUACACUGUUCAUUACGGACCAGUUUCACCACGGGCCGUUAAUGGGUGUAAAGUGAUACACUGUUCAUUACGGGCCAGUUUCACCACAGGCCGUUAAUGGGCCAAUAUUUACAAAGGGCCUCAUAUGGGCCGAAAGACGUCAUGGGCCAUACAUGGGCCAGAAGUGAAAACAGGCUGGAAUCGUAUUGGAUGGCCCAGAUGACGCUACUGGGCCUAAUUCGGAUAGGGCGUAACAGGCCUUGGGUUAGCGGGCUGUAAAUGGGCUAUAUGCGAACAUGUUGUUAACAGGCUUUCCAUGGGCCGGCCCGCCACCUUUUGACCAAGUCAAACGGGCCAUCCUUUUCACAGGAAUGGGCCACUGUUGGGCCAUGCCACAUGUCGACGUAUCAUAGGCGCCUUCUGUCCAAUGAGUGGACGACAUCUAUCCCAACGAUGAGUCGACACGUGUUUCCUCCAGCCAAUGAUGAUUUUACACGUGGAAAAUCCCCAUUGGUCGGGGCUGUUAACGUGUUAUCGGAUCCAAAACCCGAUCUGAUAGCUUAACGGCGUUCCGUUACGGUGGAUGCCACGUGUCGGUCACCCUUGAUGAAAGCACUUCUGUGACGCGCGAUUUAUCGUCAUGGAAGUGGACACUUCCAUGAUGAUAAUUUUGGUAAUGUCAUGGAACACUUCUAUGACAGCACAUGUAUGACUAUCUUGAUUCUGUCAUAAAUUUGUCAUGGAUGUACAUGCAUGACAGAAAAUGCGACCUACUGUGACAAACACGUAUCAUCACGGAAGUGUAUUUUUUUUGUAGUGGUCUUUCUAGUUUCAUACUUGUUUUAGGUAAAGCGAACGUUAAGCGUGCGUAGAGUUGUAUCGGUGGUCGAUAGAACUUGAGGGAAUAUUUGUUCUACCUUUAGCUCCUCGUUGGGUUCGACACUCUUACUUAUCGAAAGAGGCUACAAUUGAUCCCCUAUACUUGUGGGUUAUCAAGGAGGCAUAUGAUCCGCUUACCUCUGGGUUACGAGCCUACACGUUUGUUCAACACGCCAGGAGCAUGCCCGAGUACGCCAGGAGCACUGGUUAUACCCAAUUGACCACGGAUGCACCUGGGAGUAGGGUGGAAGCUCAGCACCAUCGGCCAGAGCCAGUUUAGAGGGAUAGCCGGCCUCAGACCCUCAUCUUGUCCAGGCACCACUGCAGCAUUUUCUGACACCACCGCUCACUUCUCCAACCCAGUGGACAAUAUGGUAGCAGCGGCAACCCGCCUUACUGCACUUCCUAUCACCCGUGAGUCACCGGGCGCGGUGAAAACUUGGAACACGAUCAAACUUUUGCAAACAGCGAUUGCUUAGUAGGCCAAUUAUUCUUAUAGUCGGCAUCGUGUGCAUUCCACCCCGCUACCGAGCCGCAACUACAGCAGGCAUGCAGAGUCGCGGACUGUUUCCAGUAGUGAGCGACACCAUAACCGCCCUAGGAUAACCCGCCCCGCAAUACACGUGGUGAUGCUCAAACAAUCGUGGACGAGGCAAGGCCCUUCGCGAGGCGGAGGCAGUAAACCAGGGGGCUUGUCAGCACCGCCAAUAGUUCCUUUAACUUUGGUGGGAUCCGAGUCAAGCACUAGAACCAUUGGAGUGCUGUUCCUAGUGCCGGCUUUACGUAAUGAGCGCAUGCCCAAGUAUUUUAAGGGUCCUCGCAAAGUACCCAACUAUACGGCAAAUCUUGAGUCGGCGACCUGGAUCAAGAGCUAUGAGCUGGCCAUGUAUAUGUUGGAUGUGAGAGAUGGGGUAUGUGCCAAGUAUUUCACCAUGAUGUUGGAGGGGCCGGCACAUACAUGGUUGAAGAACCUGCCCUCAACUCUAUGAACACCUGGGCGGAGUUGAAGGAGCGUUUUAUAAAGAAUCUUGAAGGAAUUUGCAAGCAGCCAAUGACAAUUGUGGACCUAGAACACAGUGUGCAGCGUGAGGAUGAGUCGGCCCACCAUUGUGCUCCCCGGGUCGCUACCAUUAUCCACUCAUCAGAUAACAUUGGGGUGGCUCAAGCCGUGUUUAUCCCAGAGAAAAGCUAUCACUUUCUGCCUCUUAAGCAGAAGCUAGGGCGGCUUAAGCGCAAGUGCCAGGAUAUGGGCAAUCUCAUGGAUGCACUUACCAAAUAUGCAGACUCUGACGGUACAAAGGACCCUAACUCUGAUGAGGAUAAAUCCGGCAAAGGCAAGAGAAACAGUGGUGGUAAGGUCAAUAACAGAAUGGCUCGGUGCAUAAUGGUAAUAACCAUGGUAAUGGUGGAAAACAUAAGUACCCCGAUGGUGAGUCAGAUUUGGUGGCUAACACCAACACAGGGUAUAAGAAUCAAUGUCGCAAUGACAAGCAUCCGUAUGCUGUGCAAAAACCCAAGAAUUAUGAGGAAGCUCUUAGUGCGCCGUGUCCAAAGCACAAUUAUCCUAACAAGCCAUCUUCUCAUUCUUGGAAGGAUUGUUAUAUCACGUGGGAGUUCAGGAAUCGGUCAUUUCAAUAGCAUCAUGUCAAUGAUAAUGGGUCACGAGGCCGGUCAGGCUCAGGAGGUUUCCAGGGAGCUGGCUUUGGCGGUGACGGUUCAAGUUCUGGCUAUCAGGGUCAAGGGAACCAUGGUGGUCAUAAUGAGUACUCUAGUCAAGGUAAUCAAUGUCAGAAUAACCAAUCGCGAUAUCAGAGUAAUCCUAAGCAGCUCAAUAGUGGUCAGUACCAUGUCUUCACUACAAGUACGUGCAAGCGUGACCAGAAAGUCCAUAAGCAGGCAAUCAAUGUGGUUGAGACGGUGGUGCUGCAGUACUUAAAGUGGUCUGAAUACACGAUAACUUGGAGCCGGACGGAUCACCCGCCCCGUGUUGACAAUCCGGGUCAUUUAGCCCUGGUAGUAGCCCCUCAGGUGGGUGGUUACAGAUUUACUAAAGUACUUAUGGAUGGUGGCAGCAGCAUCAACAUAUUGUACUAUGACACUUUCCGACGGAUGAAUUUGACAGAGAAGGAUCUUAAGCCAUCUUCAACUAUUUUUCACGGAGUUUUUCUGGGGAAAUUGGCUUAGCCUAUGGGGAUGAGUGCUCUGGAGGUGGCUUUUGGUGAUGAGUAUAACUACAUAGUAGAGACAUUAUGGUUUGAGGUGGUCAAGAUCAAGAGUACACAUCAUGCACUAUUUGGACGGCCGACCUAUGCAAAAUUCAUGGCCCGUCCUUGUUAUAUAUAUUUGCAGCUUAAGAUGCCAAGGCAAAAUGGAGCAAUUAUGGCUCAUGGGGUUUGUAAGAUAGCCUUGGAGUGUGAAGAAGGAGAUGUCGCUUAUGUAAAGAUGGCUUGUGCUGCCGAGGAGCUCAAAUUUUACAAGGAUAAUUGAUACGUCUCUAAUGUAUCUAUAAUUUUUGAUUGUUCCAUGCUGUUAUAUUGUCAUUCUUGGAUGUUUUAUAUUUAUUUUAUAGCAACUUUAUAUCAUUUUUUGGGACUAACCUAUUGACAUAGCGCUCUGUUUUUUGCUUGUUUUUUUACUUUGCGGAAUAUCAGUACCAAACGAAGUCCAUAUGCCACAAAACUUUUUAGAGAUUUUUUCUGCCCAGAAGACAACUUGGAAGACAAGGAAGAGCACCAAGUGUCGGUGUCAAAACUGGCAGAUCUUGGGUAGGGGGGCCCAAGCUGUAUGUCUGAGAUCGAUGAUAACUAAGAACAAAGGACACAAUAUUUACCCAGGUUCAGGCCCUCUUAAGGGAGGUAAAACCCAACUCCUGCUUGAUUAUAUUCAAGGGGUAUAGGGGUUACAAGAGUUGAUCUACUAUGAAAUCAUAUUGUCUAACCCUAGAUUAUCUAGCCUAGCAAUGUUGUGAUCCUGCCUCCAAUCUACCUUCCGGUUUAUAUAGACAUCGGAGGGGCUUAGGGUUGUACAAAGUCGGUUUUAUAGAAAGGAAUAACAUAUCCGGACACCUAUACUUGCCAUCCACGCAUACGGGAGUCCCUACCGGACACGAGAGGUGAUCUUCUGUCUUCUAUCUUGACGGCCCAUCAGUCUGGCCCAUAUCCAAUAGACCGGACGCCCCAGGACCCCCUACUCCAGGACUCCCAUAGUAGCCCCUAAACUAGUCUUCAAUGAUGAUAUGUUUGGUCGUGUAGAUUGUCUUCGGCAUUGCAAGGCGGGUUCCAUGAAUAAUACACAUCGGCUUUCCUUCGUAAAAGAAUUGCAUCCGGCUUUUCAUAAUGAACACAAUCCUUAGCCGCGAAGGCAGGAUAUAUAAAAAAUGAGAACAGUGUCUUUUACUGACAACUUUUUCGGUGAAGCGUCAUACUUGACCCUUCAAUGUUUUGAAUCGUUUUUUGCAUCCCGUGUUCCGUGUUUCGAGGCCACGUCCCAUUAGGCUGUCCUGUCAAAACAUAGAUCGUGCCCACUUAAUAUGGGAUCGCUCAUCAAUAGAAUUUGGGCAAUCCAACCGUUUACAGUGCACACUCUUAUCGGGAAUAGGCGAGAUUCAAGGCAUGAGUGGGGUCGGUUGGUAUUUCUACCGCAUGUAAGAGGGAAAUGGAUCUUUACUUUCUCCCCCACGCCUUCACAUCUCCUCAACCUUCCAAUUUCCUAAGCUCCCAGCGCCCGAAAAGUUUCCUUCUUUCUCACCACCACCACACCUCCUCCGAUGAUGGCCCGAUCCGGUUCCAAAGGCAAGUGGGAGGCCUCCUCCGCCACGGAGAAGGAGAUAAAAAAUCUCCAGAGUGCGAGAUACCUCGCCGCCAACAUCACGCACAUGCUUUCCCUCGAGGGUCAAGUCAUUCCCACUCCAGAGCCCGGCAAACGGGUCAUCUUCCUUCCCCACUUCCUUAGAGGGCUAGGUUUUCCACUCCACCCAUUCGUCCGUGGACUCAUGUACUACUACGGGCCAUAUUUCCACGAUCUAGCCCCGAACUCUUUCCUCCACAUCUUGGCAUUCAUCGUCAUGUGUGAGGCUCUCCUCCGCAUCCACCCACACUUCGUCUUGUGGAUCAAGGUCUUCAACGUGAAGCCGAAGGUGGUCGACGGGCAGCACACGGACUACGGCGGAGCUAUGAUCAGCAAGAUGCCCAACACCACGUGGCCCAAAGGGGCCUUCGUGGAGACCAUGAAGAUCUGGCAAUAGGAGUGGUUCUAUAUCACUGAGCCGCGCCGCACUAAGUGGGCGGCGAUUCUGGAGUUCAGAUCCGGACCACUCAUGAGGCCCGUCUCCUAGAACACGAAGGGCCAUGACUGGGGGUCUUAGACGGAGGUGCAGACGCUACAAAUGCGCAUCAUCAACAUGCUAAGAAAUAGCGUUGGUUUAACCAACAUGGUUCAGAUUAUGCUCUUCCACUGCAUUCUCCCCUGCCAGCACCGAGCUUCCCCCAUGUGGGAGUUCGAUCCAGAGCACCACGGACUCUGCAACACUUCCUCGGCACUACGCACUAAGGAAUGUGGAAGCUGCUCUUCAAGGCGCAGAAGAGCUGGCCCAUGGAGACCGAAGACAUCAGCCUCAACGCCAAGAAUCCGGCCACUCUAGUAAGUAUUCGAUAUUUCCAAAGACAUACCUAGUUCAUAUAUAUAUAUAUAUAUAUUCGAUCUACACCGAAAUCAUCAGCCCAUCUUUUUUUAACAGGGCUGGACCAAGAAGUCGGAGCGGAUUAAGAGUCCGGAUCCGUUGCCUGAAGACCCAAUCACUCCUGAGUUGGAGGAUAUGCUGGUCCUGGCGCCUUAUUAGGCGCCGGAUAAGAAGGUUAAGAAGAAGGGCAAGGGGCCCAAGGACGGGCCCCGCUGCAAAGGCCCUCCGGAGGCAGUGUCCAGAGAGACCGAGGCCGUCUCCUCUCACGAGGAAGAUGAGGACGAAGAGGAGGAGGAAGAGGAGGAGGAGGAGGUGGAGAGCGACUCCCCUCUCAAGACGAGGAGGGGAAAGAGGACGACCUCUGAAAACCUGGAGGGGGCGACGCCGAAGAAGGGGAGAGUGCUCCUCUCGGAUAGUUCUAACCCAGAGUCCGAGCACAACCCGAAGAGGAUCCAGAGGGAGAAGCCCCUGGCCGAAAUGUAAGUAUUAAAAUCUUACUCAUUCAAUUGUCGCUUAAUCUGCCUCUGUCAUAUCAAAACUCUUAUUUGCUUUUCAGCUCUCCGCGUGAGAUUCUGAUUCCCUUCUCUUCGGAGGGGAACUCUCAAGCACCUGGAGAGGCGGAGAGUGAUAGACCCUCGUGCACCUUCUCCCCCCUGCCACGGAGCACACUGAGGUGUCGUCCCAAAGGGCAUCUCCGGGCAGAGGAGGAGCGGACGAGACCGUCCAGAAGGCGCCCGAGGACAACACCUCAGACGCUGUACAGCAGGGCACGGCGGCCCCUAAGACCAUCGAGGGUGGGGGCCUCAACAAUCCGAGCCCUCGCCGAACACCAUCCCGGAAACAAGUACGGCUACGGGUUCGGAUGGAUGACCCACAAGUAUAGGGGAUCUAUCGUAGUCCUUUUGAUAAAUAAGAGUGUCGAACCCAACGAGGAGCAGAAGGAAAUGACAAGCGGUUUUCAGUAAGGUAUUCUCUGCAAGCACUGAAAUUGUAGGUAACAGAUAGUUUUGUGAUAAGAUAAUUUGUAACGAGUAACAAGCAAUGAAAGUAAAUAAAGUGCAGCAAGGUGGCCCAAUCCUUUUUGUAGCAAAGGACAAGCCUGGACAAUUUCUUAUAAUGAGAAAAGCGCUCCCGAGGACACAUGGGAAUUAUUGUCAAGCUAGUUUCACCACGAUCAUAUGAUUCAUGUUCGGUACUUUGAUAAUUUGAUAUGUGGGUGGACCGGUGCUUGGGUACUGCCCAUACUUGGACAAGCAUCCCACUUAUGAUUAACCCCUAUUGCAAGCAUCCGCAACUACAAAAGAAGUAUUAAGGUAAAUCAAAUCAUAGCAUGAAACAUAUGGAUCCAAUUCAGCCCCUUACGAAGCAACACAUAAAGUAGGGUUUAAGCUUCUGUCACUCUAGCAACCCAUCAUCUACUUAUUACUUCCCAAUGCCUUCCUCUAGGCCCAAAUAAUGGUGAAGUGUCAUGUAGUCGACGUUCACAUAACACCACUAGAGGAGAGACAACAUACAUCUCAUCAAAAUAUCGAAUGAAUACCAAAUUCACAUGACUACUAAUAGCAAGACUUCACCCAUGUCCUCAGGAACAAACGGAACUACUCACAAAGCAUAUUCAUGUUCAUAAUCAGAGGAGUAUUAAUAUGCAUAAAGGAUCUAAACAUAUGAUCUUCCACCAAGUAAACCAAUUAGCAUCAACUACAAGGAGUAAUCAACACUACUAGCAACCCACAUGUACCAAUUUGUGGUUUUGAUACAAGAUUGGAUACAAGAGAUGAACUAGGGUUUGGAGAGGAGAUGGUGCUGGUGAAGAUGUUGAUGAAGAUUGACCCGCUCCCGAUGAGAGGAUCGUUGGUGAUGAUGAUGGUGAUGAAUUCCCCCUCCCGGAGGGAAGUUUCCCCGGCAGAGCAGCUCUGCCGGAGCCCUAGAUUGGUUCAGCCAAGGUUCCGCCUCGUGGCGGAGGAGUUUCGUCUCGUGAGCUUGCCUUCGAUUUUUUCCAGGAUAAAAGACCUCAUAUAGCAGAAGAUGGGCACCGGAGGACCACCAGGGGGCCCAGGAGACAGGGGGCGCGCCCAGUAGGGGGGGGGGGGGCGCCCCCACCCUCCUGGCCAGGGUGUGGAUCCCCUCCAGUACUUUCCUUGCCCAAUAAUUCUUACUAAAUCCAAAAAUGACUUUCGUGGAGUUGUAGGACUUUUGGAGCUGUGCAGAAUAGGUUUCGAUAUUUGCACCUUUUCCAGCCAGAAUCCCCGCUGCCGGCAUUCUCCCUCUUCAUGAUAAACCUUGUAAAAUAAGAGAGAAUAGCCAUAAGUAUUGUGAUAUAACGUGUAAUAAUAGCCCAUAAUGCAAUAAAUAUUGAUAUAAAAGCAUGAUGCUAAAUGGACGUAUCAUGGACCAACACCCUCCCUCAAAGGACGGGGGAGGAGCUGAAGCUCCAUCAGCGGCCGCUGUCAAUCUAGAGGCCGCUGAUGCUCUGCAGGAAGCGCUGCAAUGCGCUUUCAUUGUAGAGGAACACCACGCCCUGAUGGGUGCGGUUAUGGAGAAAGUUCGUUCCGCGAAGAGCGGACUGACCGAAUCCUUCAACAGCCUACUGCCGGGCUUUGAGGUAUGCAAUGUAAUAUUCUUUACAAGUUCUUUUUUGUAUAUAUAUAUGUGUGAGGCAGAACCCAUGUAUAGACAGUAGCCCCUGAGACUCUGUUCACAUUAGAACAAUCCGAAUGAAGGAUCAACACAAGUAUAUAACGCGUUGUAUAUGUUGUUGGACAGGCGUCUAUGCUGGCGGCUACUGCCCAGGCCACAGAAAUUGCCGACCUCAAUUGGAAGCUUCGGAUAUCCGAUGAGGAACUCGACCACAUCAACAAGCGGUUUAAUGAAACCCAAGGUAUGCGGCACUACGACAUUCCCGAAACUUAUAUGUGUAUUAGUCUUUUAAACUGACUAAAAAUGUUAUAAAAUACUCACAGUUGGCACAGCCGAGGUCGAGUCCCUUAGGAACGCCCUCGCCAAACCCAAGAAGGAGGCAUAGGUGAGCAAGACGGCCACGGAAAAGGCGGCCAAAGAUUUGGAGGUGGAGCAAACCACCCGCCGCAGACAUGAGGCUUGGGUGGGGGAGGUUGAACAGGAGCUCAAGGACGCCAUCGCCAAGUGUGAGUCCUUGGAGCAAAAGAGUUCAGAAUAGGCCUCCGAGCUCACCAAAGCUCUGGAGAGCAUGAAGGAAGCCUGGGUUGAUGCACAGGGCGCUCGACAGGAGAUCCAAUAGGCGAGGCAGAUUGCGGCUGGUAAGGCCUUUAUCAUGCAGAGUAGAUUUACUAGUAAGAGAUAUAUUUUAUUGACCCAAGUUUGGAUUUCUCCAAGCGCCUUUGCAGAUCUGCCGAGGAGUAUUGCGAAUGCCGCCGCAUUCUUCCAAGCCGAAGAGGGGAUCUCGACAAAGUUGUUCUGGUCACAGUAUCUUGCACCAGAACUUCCAGUGCCCCUUAGUGACCAGCUGAAGCAGUUGUACGAGCUGCACAGGGUGGUCAGACUGGCCAUGAAGGAUGUAAUAGUCCGCCUAUGGCCGACCGAGUCCAUACCCAGCAGCCACUUCAAAGUCAUGAAGCGGUUGGUGGAUGCGCUUCCUUGGAUCGAGACCCUCAAGCGGUCGUCCUGCAUAUAAGGUGCCUUGACGGCCUUCACCCACGUCAAGAUUCAGUGGGCGAAAGAUGAAGGCCACUGAGAUUGCCACCGCAGGGCCACCUGAAGGCAAGGAUCACUGGCGGCCGGAGAGGUACUUCGAUGAGGUCCUCGAGGGAGCCUGCAUUGUAGAGGGCCAGUUCUCAAAGGACAUCAUAUUUAAAUAGUUGAGUCCGUUUUGUAAGAGUCAUAUAAUGAACUCGUGAUGUAUAAUAUAUAUAUGCUUGCGCUUUAUAAUUAGUUUAUCCUGCUUUUUGGCCGUUUAUAAAUCUGAAAGUUUACCAGUCGUCGGCUUCUGCCCCACGUAAAUAUUACAGGGGUGUUUGGGAACACAUGACCGCACUUUAUCCAACGUCUUGGUCCGAUGUAGGAGGCGUCUCCAGGUCCGAUGCAGGGGAACCUCCCCCAAGCUUAGACCUUGCUUGUCCUCAAGCGGAAGCCGAAAUCGAAAAAUCUGUCCACAUGUUUAGAGAUAGAGGUGUCGAUAAAAAUAAAAUACGGACAUGAGGGCAUCAUGAUCAUUCUUAUAACAGCAACAUAUAUAGAUUUUGUCAUAUGAUUUCUUAUGCUCAAGUAACAAUCUAUUCACAAUGUCAAGUAUGGAACAUAAACUUCAUUGGAAACUAACAAACUAUAAUCUUAGUCAUUGAAGCAAUUGCAAUUUAUCAUAACAUCAGAAAGAGUCAAGAAUAGAGCUGUUCAGCAAGUCCACAUAGUCAACUAUCAUAUAGUCUUCUACAAUUGCUAACACUCACGCAAUACUUAUGGUUAUGGAGUUUUAAUCAGACACUGAGAAAGAUAGGGGCUUAUAAUGUUGCCUCCCAACGUGUUCACCUUUAGGUGAUGUCAACAAUAAUAAUUCAUGCUAACGAACAUCCAACUGGAUAUAUGUAUCAGGAUCUUUCCAACACGAGGUGCUUGCCAAAGGAUAAAAUGAAAAAGGGAAAGGUGAAGAUCACCUUGACUCUUGCAUAAAGUAAAAGACAUAAAGUAGAAGAUAGGCCCUUCGCAGAGGGAAGUAGAGGUUGUCAUGCGCUUUUAGGGUUGGAUACACAAAAUCUUAGUGCGAAAGAACGUCACUUUAUAUUGCCACUUGUAUAUGCACUACUAGGGAAAAGCUUAUAGAAGACGCUUACUAGUAGCGUGCUAUAUUUUCCCGCGCUACUGCUACUUACUAGUAGCGUGCCAUAUUGAACGCGCUACUACUAAUAUUUACUGGUAGCGCGUGGCCAGAAAAACAUGCUACUAGUAAAUAUCUUCAACCGUGCCCCGCGAACAUAUCAUAGUAGUAGCGCGGAUUAUAAAACCGGCGCUACUACUAUGUGAAUAGCUGUACCGUACGUGAGGCUCUCACGUUACUAGUAUACUCCCACCCCCACCAACCGUCCCACUCCACCGUCCACCCGCCCACAUUUAUCUCAAAAAAAAUCCACCCAAGCCCCGGACUCCUUCCACGUUUAUCCCCUCCACCGCCGGCCUUCUUCCACCUCCUCUCCUCUCCCAAUCCAGAGUGUGUGCAGCCACGUGCCUCCUCGCGACCGCUGCCACCGCCACCGCCACCGCCACCUCCUCGUGACCGCUGCCACCGCCAUCGCCAGGAGGCUAGCCAGGCCUCCUCGCGACCGCUGCCACCGCCACCGCCACCGCCACCCUCGCCCCUCCCCUCACCAGAAGACGACUAGAAGAGAAUAGGUCAGGCGGUGGCUCCCAGUCCCAGAUCCACCAUGUCCAUGGCCGAGGGCUUGGACCUGGAGCUCCACAUCCAUGGCCGAGGGCUAGGACCUGGAGCUCCAUCUCCAUGGCAUCGGCUGCAUCUCUCCAAUCGCGAGCUCGUGCGCCUGGACAGGACCUCCGUCCGUCCACUCCGCUCGACCGACGAUGCCAUGGCCACCAAGGUACUCUCUCGAUCUGCUUCCCUUUCCCUUUCCUUUUUCCUUCCCUUCCCUCCCUCAUGUGCAGCCUGCUUUUGUUUCCUUGUAGUGCACAGACGCAGGUGCACACACACAGCAGCAUUGCUGACUUGUUGCAUGAGGCAGCCGGCAAGGUGAGGUGAGGCAGGAGAGGACUACCCCAAGCGCCUACAAGCUCCACCGGUACCCACCUUCUUCUGAUCCAUAAUCUAGUUUCUCUUCCUCUCUUGCAAAUAAAGGAUAAAUUUGAUAUUGUACCCGUCACUGUCGAUCUGAAAGUCCGCUUCUCCAAUUCUUCUUAUUUAAAUGAGGCCAACUUGUUCAAAGUAGAGUUGAGUUGAAUGAAUCAUUAGGUUCGCUGGGAUUCCACCUAUUUGUGGUGUCCUUCCUCUAACACUAAUUCGCUGGGAUUAAGAUAAAUUAAUUAGGCACCUUCAGAAAUUCUAACAGUUCAUCCCAGACUAAGCAAACUAUACUUGUUAGUGUUAGUUUUCUCAGAGAAUUUAGCGUUAGUUGAUCACCAUUUUGAUCCUUUUUAACUAUAUAUAGUUAUGCCACUGGAAUAAAAUGAAGUUUAUGGGCAUAAUAAAAUGAAGUUUAUGGGCAUAAUAAAAUGAGUAGUCACUCUAUGGAGGCUAGUUGUUUUGAACAUGACUAAUUUUUUAGUUUAGGCAUCCAUGUGUCAAAAUCACUAGUUUGGGGACCUGAGAUGCAUUUCCUGUUUUAGGAAGAAAUGCAUUAAUGCCCUUCAUGUAAAUAUGAAGUCAUAGAUGCUAAAUUUGUGUGGAUUUAGUUCAUUGCGAACCAUUUUUUUUAGAUUUCAGAUGGGUCCCUACCGAGGAAUGUUGUUUAGCAAUAUUUUUACAAUGUUUCAGGCUUUGUUUUGUGGUAUACAAUGAUGUUUCUUUGUUCUAAUAGGAGUUUUGCUAUAAGAAAUGAGGGAAGAGAGUAUGUUCUAAGGCGUAUACUUAGACGUGUUGUUCACUUUGGUCAUCAAAAAUUGAUGGCAAAGCAAGGAUUUUUUUAGCUCAUAAGAACUGUAACCUGCAUCUGUUGUAUUCUGUACUUCUUCGUUAAUGGUAUACUUUGCAUAGCCUUUUGUUUAUUCGGGAUGCUAAACAUGCAAUGUAAGGCUUAUGAGGAUGACUGUAGAGAUGUCAUAUGACAACAAGAAAAUAAACUAUGUCACACAUGAUUCUAGCUAAUUUAAACUAUGUUCUUUAAGCAGGUAUUUGAUAUGCCAUUAUUUUGUAUCUUUCUUGUACAGCCUUGUAGAUAUUUUUGUCCGAGUGAUGGGUGAUGUGUUUCCUCAGCUGAAGGACAAUGAAAAGAAGAUUAAAGCUAUUAUUAAAGAAGAAGAGGCAAGCUUUGAGAACACUCUAACGAAGGUAAUAUUGGUUGCCAGGAGUAUUUGCAUAUCAGUGACAUCAAUUUGGCCCAAGUGAUGUUUGUUGAAGUAAUUUCAUUGCAAUCAAAUUCGAGUGUUUGCACACUCUUAGGCAGUGUUUUAUUCUUGUAAACAUGUGUUAGUCUCAAAGUAAUUUAGCUAGUUUGUUAUCAGAUAACUUAAAAUGUUUUAUCCUUGUAAACAUGUGUUAGUCUCAAAGUAAUCUAGCUAGUUUGUUAUCAGAUACCCUAAAUUUUUGUUGUUGCCAGAGGCUCUGGGCCAGUUCGUACCUUGUAUCUUUUGUACUGCUGUUUUGCUCGUGAGAUACUGCUAAACGCUUUAUAUAUAUAAUAUAUUAACAUGUUGUGUUGAGUAACCAGGUAGUGUCUUGUUUUGAGGCAACGCAUUAAGGAACAUAUCCAGUGUAUUGUUUCAAUCCUGGUUUACAUCAGCUUAGUUCAAUCACAAUAAUUAGCAUACACGAUAAAGUGUCUCACCUUUUCUUUGAAAUGACCAUUAGUAAUCCAAUUUAUUUGGUUUCCACAUGGGCAUGAUUCUGUUUAUCAUGCUUAUACUUUAAGGGUAGUUCCUACUAGGUGCUUUGCAUUUUGUUUCAUACAUAGAAACAGAGACUAAGAAAUCUCACAGUUGAAGUUUAGUUGACCGUUCUUUUCUUAGAACCAUCAUAAUACGUACUGUCCUUUCUUGUGGCUGUUCAGAUGGUUAACUGAUUGUGCUAUUGGUGUAAUUUUCAGGGAUAAGAGAGAUUUAGGAAAGCUGCAGAUGCUGUCAAGGAGAAUGGCAGGGCAAUACUUAGUGGCCAGGCAAUAUUUGCACUACAUUAUUAUAGUCAAUCAUUUGUUAGCUGCAAGUAAAUAUAUGACCUUUGCAUUGUUGAAUUACAGGACACCUACAAGAAUGUGGUUCAGAAACAUAAUAAGUUAAAGAAGGAGGUCGGUCAUUGAAGGUACACUCAUGUUGCUAACUAAAUUUUCACACCACUAUUGCAUUGUGAUAUCUAUCUAACUAGGCAAUGAGAGUUCUUAAGAAUGUCUUGAUUUAGCCAACAUGUUCUCUGCUUAUUCUGCUCUGCAGUACAUUCUGACACUAGUAACUAAGAUGAGCUAGCUGGGUUCUUUUUCAGGAUAAGUAUGGUAAACAGAAGUGUCACAACUCAAGGGCGGAGGCCGACAUUGAUCGGGGCCUGCUUGAGCUGAGGGCUAGGGCGAGCGACAUGACGGCGUCCCAACUCAAGGCGGCGGCUGCCAUCGGUCAAGUGCGGCUCGUCGAGGCUGCUCGCUGUGUUUCGUCGCAGCUGCAGGCCGCGAGAUCAGGCCGGGAAGGCACCAGACAUCGACGAGUGAGCCAAUUUUUGGAUCGGACCAUAACAACGUAUCUCAGUCUCCACGUCUAGAAGUAGUGGUGAAGUUUUGAAUUUGCAUGGCAAGAAUCACUUACGUAGGUAGCUGUAGGUAGCUGACACACACAACACUGUGUUUACAAUCUUACUUAUGUAAAAGACAUGAAUUAUACACGAGUUGCCAUUACAAUGAGGAACUGUGAUAGUAGAUACAUCAAUUGUGUGAUAGAAUGGAAUUGAUUGAUUUUAUUUUUUUAAUUUCUAAUAAGUUAGUAGUAGCGUGGGAACAAACCACUCGCUACUAGUAUUUAGGAUACUAGUAGCGUUGGGACUAUAGACGCGCUACUACUAUUUCAUUAGUAGUAGCGCGGUUCACAAUAGCAGUAGCGCGCAUUGAACCCUCGCUGCUACUAACAAAGUUAGUAGUAGCGAGGGUUCGAUCCGCGCUACUGCUAACUUUUAGCUGUAGCGCGAUACUAGUAGCGCGAGUACCCACGCUACUAGUAGCCAUUUUACCCGCGCUGCUAGUAGCCUUUUCCCUAGUAGUGAUGGACCUUUAUUAUGCAGUUCGUCGCUUUUAUUGCUUCCAUAACAAGCUCAUAUAAAGCUUAUUUUCUACGCACUAACAAGUCAUGCAUAUUUAGAGAGCAAUUUUUAUUGCUUGCACCGAUGACAACUUACUUGAAGGAUCUUACUCAAUCCAUAGGUAGAUAUGGUGGACUCUCAGGGCUAAACUGGGUUUAAGGAUAUUUGGAAGCACAAGUAGUAUCUCUACUUGGUGCUAGGAAUUUUUGUCUAGCAUGAGGGGUAAAGGCAAGCUCAACAUGUUUGAAUGAUCCAUGACAAUAUACUUUAACUGAGAUGCGAGAAAACAUAAACCAUUACGUUGUCUUCCUUGUCCAACAUCAACUCUUUAGCAUGUCAUACUUUAAUGUGUGCUCACAAUUACAAAAGAUGUCCAAGAUAGUAUAUUUAUAUGUGAAAACCUCUCUUUCUUUAUUACUUCCUAUUAGUUGCAACGAUGACCAAAACUAUAUUUGUCAACUCCCAACAACUUUUAAGCUACUUUCUAUAUGUGAAGUCAUUACUAUCCAUAAGAUCAAUUGAACUCUUUUAUUUCUUUUUAUUCUUUCUAUUUUUUUCUCAAGAUCAUAGAAAGAUAGCAAAGCCCUUUGACUCAACACUAAUCUUUAUUAUAGAUAACUCACGGACUUGAUUACAUAGAGAUCACAAAGCAAAACUCAAAACUAAUUCAUACCAAGACUUCAAUCUACUGGAUCAAGAUAUUACUAAAAGGAUCGAACUAAGUAAAACGGUAAAUAUAGGAGUGUGAUGGUGAUACGAUACCCGGGAACCUCCCCCAAGCUUGGCAGUUGCCAAGGGGAGUGCCCACACUACUAGGAAAAGGGCUAUAGAUAGGACUGAUUCUAAUGGCGCACCAGGUAAGUAGUGCGCCACUACUAUAUACUAAUGGCGCACCGAUUACUCGUGCGCCAUUAGUGUGGAAGACAAUAAUGGCGCACCGUGCUCAUGGUGCGCCACUACUAUUGAUUUUUUCCCCAUUUUUCCAUACAAACUAAUGGCGCAGGAAUGGAAAAGUGCGCCAUUACUAGUUAGAACUUGUAAUGGCGCACGACCAUGACAGUGCGCCAUUAGUAUAUAAUUUUUUUUUACUUUUUUGCAAACCUACUAAUGGCGCACUAUGCCAAAGCCCAGUCGUGCUUAUACCCGAAGCCAAAUCCAAGACCGCGGGCGCAAACGUCACCGCAAAAAAUGAGCCAUGGGUACUGGCUUCCCAAGUGGACCAAUGCUUCUUCAUUACCGACCCGCCAAAGCCCAGUCGUGUUGUCGUGAGGAGAGGUAAAAGGAAGAUCAUCGGAAUGGAUGGAGUAGCCAAUGAGCAAGAUUUCGACAAGUACGGCGACCCGAAGAUCGAACAUGACGACGAUGAUGAAGUAGCAGCACACACCACAAGAAGAAGCAGGACCACCCUACCUAAAGGACGUCCGUUCCACAGAAGAACCCCAUUUGCGAAAAAGAAGGGCAAGAAGAUUGUGAACAGAUAGCUAGCUAAGAUCGAUUGUAUUUAAAUCAUAGUCUUCAUUUCUCGAUUGUAUGUCAUGGGCACUUUUUGAUAUCAUGAAUAUUUUUAAAUUUCAUGGGCACUUUUUGAAUUCAUGAGGACACUUGAUCUCGAUCCCCCUCCAUCUCGAUCUCGAUUCCCCCUCCAUCUCGAUCUCGAUCCCCGCACCCUCCCCCGCUCCACCGCCGCCGCCGAUGAUAUUUUCAAGUAAGAAAUUUGAACAUAUUUUUUAAAAAAUUAUUACUGUUUUUAUAAAAAAAUAUUACUGUUAUGAUAUAAACAAGUUUGAACAUAUUUAAACACAAAUAAAUAUAAAAAACAACAUUUAAAAUGCAUAAAAAAAUAUUGGGGAGCCUGGGAAUCAAACCCAGGACCUCCUGGUGUGUGUGCUGCGUGCUGACCAGUCGGGCUAGUGGGUGGGUUCUGUUGUAGAUAGGGUUAGGUUGUAGGUAUGGUUAGUGGGCUAGAUUAAAACAAAAUUCUAAUGGCGCACCAAGGGGACGGUGCGCCAUUAGAACCCUCCCCCUAGCUAUCCUCCCUCGCUCUCGCCAGAUCCCCUUCCACUCUCUCUCCCUCGCCACCACAUCCACCCGCGCGCUGCCCCGACCCACGCCGCCGCCGCCCCCGCGCCUCCGUCUCCGUCGCUGCCCCCAGUCAGCCCCUGCCCUGCCCCCCAUCGCCAUCCGCUCCCAAUCCACCCCCUCCCUCGCCUUCACCGCACCCACCCACCCCCUCCCCCGCCUUCCCAGCCCUCGAGCUCCACCGUGCGAGGCGACAGGCAAGGCAGCGGGCAGAAUCUGCUUCAACACCGGGCUGGCGAGCCGCGGAACCAGGGCGCGACGGCGCUCGACCCCUCCACCCCCACCUCUUCUUCCUCGGGUCGCCGCUGUCUUCCUCAACUUUGGCCACCUCUGUUGCUACUAAGCUGUCGCAGGGCCUCCUUGCGCCUCCCCGGUGAGCUCCGCCUCCUCUCCCCUCUUCCUUCUCGCGUGCCAAGAAAUGCAUAGCAAUUAUUUGCUUCACUUAGUCAUUGAUGGUCAUUUAGUAUGAAAUUACAACCUGCAGGUAUUGGUUGGAAUGUGUAACUACAAUUUACAGGGGAAAUGUUUGCAGUUAAGUUAUGUGGUUGGAAAGAUCAUGUGUCAUUAGAAACUUGGAAGCUAAAAACAUUGCGAUCCUCACCAUAAGGAUGAUUAUAUCUUCCAUGCCUGAAUAGCUCUGCCUAAAUAAUAAAUAGAUAAAGGUAAAACUAAACCAUGCUCAGCGAUGAGAUGUUGUCAACUGACAACCAAAGCAAACUUGUUCAUCAUUACAAAAGCAAACUUGUUCAACAUAACAAAAGCAAACUUGUUCAACAUAACAAAAGCAAACUUGUUCAACCACAUAACUACAAACUAAGACACAGUAGUAGGGGUCAUCCCAAUACCACAAACAACUCAAUAUCCCUAGUAGUAGGUGUCAUCCCAAUGAUCCUCCGCCUCUUGCCAGAGCACCAAACCUUCUUUGGUGAUUUCGAUUUUCUUCCAUGCCUCGUAGGUGACGUACGCAUCUUUCGCGGCGUACUCGAUGAGCUUGUUUGGCAGUGGGCUGUCCCCCCAUAGUAGGUGGUCCGAAUUCCUGUCGAUCUUCUGCUUCAUUUUUGAGUAGGAUGGGUGGAUGAGGCUGGCUGCAAACUCAGCCAAAGACUGCCACUUCUUUCCAUUGUUUGGAACUCUCCAUUUGCACUGCAAGUCGACGUACUUGUCGGGGUUGAUCUCCAAUCUAGACAACUUCAGCUUCUCCUUGUCGCCUCUAAUGCAGAAGCCAACAAAGGUGUACGGCUUCUUCUCCUGCAGGAGCGGGCGGAGUUCCUUGGGCCUGCAUCAAAUUAAUCUGGUGCAUCAAAUUCAUCUACUUCAAAAACUUCAGAAAUUACAGAAUUAAAAUGGGUUCAGUUGAAGCAAAAUUCAGUUAAAAUAGCAUCUUCAGUUCUGACCAAAAUUCAGUUAAAAUAGUAUGAUCACAACAACUACUAAAUGAUCACAACAACUACAAGACAACAUUCUAUAUGAUCAAAACAGCAAGCAUAACAUCUCAAUGAUGUAUUUUUUUGCAAUCUUUUGCAUUACAAGACAACAUUCAUAACAGCUACUAAAUUAUCACAAAAACUUGUAGACAACAUUCUGUAUGAUCACCAAAAAACUACUAAUUAGACAGAAACUUCAUAACUUCAGAACUAGUAUUGCAUCUACUUCAGAACUUCAGAACUAUUGCAUCUACUUCAGAAACUGCAGAAACUUCAAAAACUUCAGAAACUACUAAUUAAAAUGAAACUUCAGAACUUCAGAAACUUCAUAACUUCAGAACUAGUAUUGCAUCUACUUCAGAACUUCAGAACUAUUGCAUCUACUUCAGAAACUUCAGAAACUUCAAAAACUUCAGAAACUACUAAUUAAAACGAAACUUCAGAACUUCAGAAAUUCAGAACUUCAGAACUAGUAUGCAUCUACUUCAGAACUUCAUAACUAUUGCAUCUACUUCAGAAACUACUAAUUAGAUAGAAACUUCAGAACUGGAUGUUUUUACCAUUUGGUUGCCGCGGUGAUGUGGUAUACCAGGACGAGAUCCUCCACGCAUAACUGCAGAACUGCAGCAAUUUGCGGAGGUUUGUCUUCCCUGGUAUACUCGACAUUAACACCGAUAUUCCGAGGAAGCAUGCCGCCGAGCCUCCUCCUCAUCUUGUGGAUCAUCUUGUCGGCUUCGUUUGGAUUGCUGGUGCAUACGACAUCCAGCGUCUCCUUCAGGUGGAUAUCAACCUUGAGCGGCACGGUGUAGUCCCGCUUCUGCCCGGGGACCAGAACGUCGUCGUCGACCACCAGCGGCUCCUUGCCAGACGCCUCACCACGAUGAUGCUUGGCAGACGGAGGGGAGUUGCUCCAUGAUGCCUCCGCCAUUCUCUUGGCAGACGGAGGGGAGUUGCUCCAUGAUUCCUCCACCAUUGCCCUCCUGGCUAGCGAUGGUGGAGGCAGAGGGGAGUUGCUUGAUGCUGGAGGCAGAGGGAGGUAGAGGGAGGAAGAUGAAGCGGCAAUGGAAUGAGGAGGGAGACAGAGGGAGGAAGAUGGAGCGACAAUGGAAUAGGAGGGGAGUUACCUGGACGUGGGAAGAAAACCCCCUCUGCGUCGUGGGGAGUUGCCAGUGGAGGGGAGACGUGGGGAGUUGCCUCGAAAACUCAAACGUCCUGCCCUUUCGAGGGGAGACGUGGGCCCUUGGAAACUCUGGAGGGGAGACGUGGGCCCUCCUGUUUUUGAAAUGUCCAGGAGGGGAGAUGUGGGCCCUCCUGUUUCUGAAAACUACACCUAUAUCUGACGAAACUGAAGGUGUUCUUCAGCAGCUGAUUAAAAUUCAAUUAACAACAACAUUAGUAAAAUUCAGUUAAUUAACUGAAGAAGAGAAAGUAGAGAGCAAGAGGAGUACUUGCAUUAACUGAAACGUUUUACUUUAAACUUGCAUGCAUUCUUUGCUUGUUUAUAUAUAUUCAUACUGAUGCAGUUACUUGCAUGGGCCUGGCUGAUGAAGAAAAACUUUAUAUAUAUUCAUACUGAUGUUGACUCUAUAAAUCAUACUUAUUGGACAUGUUUUAUGUGUUGAUCCAUCAAUUGAUCACAUUGAGAAAGACCAUCGUGUCUCCGACCAUUUUGCAAAGAUCAUGUCUCCGACCAUCGUGUCGUGAUGAAUUUGCAUUUACCCCGAGAGGCCCUUGAGUUUGUCGGAAUGUUGAUUAACUUCCGUUCCGGCAAAUUCGGGUACUCCAUAUGUCCUAUUUUCAGCAAAGGUCAUGCUGAAAUUUUCCUUGCUGCAUUAAACCAUAGGUGGCAAUAGAGCCAAGUGAUUAGGCCCAACUUAGAAUUCUCCUUAGCAUCGAUAAACCCUAGAUGAUAAACCCAACAUAGGUGGCAAUAGAGCCAAGUGAUUAGUGCCAAGUGAUUAGGCCCAACCUAGGGUGCCUCGGCAUCGAUAAACCCUAAAUGAUGAAAACUUAACUUGGCUGCCCCGGAUGCCUCGGUGUCGAUGAGAACCUAAAUGAUGUACGCUUAGGCUUUUAGGGUGCCUCGGCGUCGACAAACCCUAAAUGAUGAAAGCUUAGGCUUUUAGGGUGCCUCGGUGUCGACAAACCCUAAAUGAUGAGACCAUGAUCUUGUUCCUUGACAAUAACCAACUUUUUGACCAAACUUUUUUCCUAUUUAGAGUGAAACAUGGCCCACAAUGAUGAGGCCGGUGGUUCGGGAAGCAAGCAAUUCUAGGAGCUGUCCCAGGAGAUGGAGGAACAACCUCACUGCUAUGAGGACGCCGCGGAAGACACCGAUCCUGAUUACACAACCCCUAGUGGCGUCGGGGAUGACACCACUGAUGGUGCCGCCGAGGAUGCCACCACUGAUGAUGGCGGCGCACACACAGAUGGCAGCCAAUCGAAGAAGCAAAGGAAGGACCGGCGUCCGAAUGCGCUCCGCACCGUCAAGGAGGAAUUCACUCAAGUACAAGGGUAAGGUUCCCGGAGUCUACGACGACUGGGAGGAGUGUCGGAGACAGGUUCACCGUUUCAGCGGUAACAGUUACAAAGGGUACACCACUAGGGCGGAGGCCAAAUCUAGAUAUGCCCGCUAUCUAGCGGGAGAGAGGAGGGAGCGUUGGAGGAACCGGAUGAGGACCAGUUUGAUCGCGAUGAUGCUCAUCGUGAUGACCACAACUCUCUUUUAUGUGAUGGUAGUUUAGAUGAUCGAUAUCGACUUGUAAUGUGAAGACAAACUCGAUACUCGCGGUCUUGAGACUUGUAAUGUUUUAUCUUUGUUCGGUCUGUUGAAUUUGGAGACUAAUAUGAUGAAUUGUAUUCGGAGACUAAUCUUCUAUUGUAUUCGGUGAAUCUGAUGUUGCUGUGUGCUACUGUCUAUAUUCUGUCCAAUAAUAUAUUUUGUAACCUGUGCAAAAAUCAGAAAAGCAAAAAAAAAACCAAAUAUUCAAAAAAAAACAAAUAUUCAUACUAAUGGCGCAUCAAGGCAGAGUGCGCCAUUAGUGUGACAAAGGAUACUAAUGGCGCAUCAAGGCAGAGUGCGCCAUUAGUGUGACAAAGCACAUGGUUACAUAUGCCCCCCCGGGAGGCAUACUAAUGGCACAUGGAGUUACACACUAAUGGCGCACUGCCAGGUGCGCCAUUAGUAUACCAGAUACUAAUGGCGCACCAGUGGUGCGCCAUUAGUAAAAAAUUCUAAUGGCGUGCUACUAGUGGCGCACCGUGCGCCAUUAGUAGGCAAAACCGAUGCGCCAUUAGUAGGCCUUUUACUAGUAGUGCCAUACCCAUGUGAUUAUGUCUCCUUCUUCAAAGUUGGUGUUGUGAUCUUCUUGGCGAUAAUUCCCCUCAGGAUACGAUUCUCCUCCUCGAGCUUAUUGACUUGUUGCUUGAGGUUCAUAUUUUCCUUGCGGAGCUUGCCUGUUAUGGCUAAAGCUCCUUUUACCCAAGGGUGCUGCACAGCUUCUGGAGAACAAGUGACACUCUUUUUCAUAUUUUCAUAAGAAAGGAAUUUAACAUUGGCAGGGAUGAACGAAUUUGGAACAGCCGAGCUCCAAAGUUCCCCCAUUAUGAAUCCUGCUUGGAAGUGGGAGGUAACUUCUUGAUCUUCCUCCAUGGCAUCUAUCCUUUUCAAGUCGGCCUCCAUAUCAUCCUCCGUUGAUGAUCCAAAGUGAUAAGUAUCGCUUUUUUCUCCUGGACCUGGCGUUGGGUGAGACACCCGACUCUCCCCGACUGACUCUUGAGAAGACAUCUUGCUCUAAAUCUGCAACAGGAAUAACUAGAAACAAAGACAGAGGAUUUUUGCGUGAUACAACGGUCAAAACUUUUGGGAGAUUAUAUAAUGAAUUUUUACCGACCAAAAUACGUAACAUGCAAGAAAACGGAGUCCAGGAGGCACACUAGGUGUCCACGUGACAGGGGGGCACGCCCAGUAGGGGGGCUCCCUCCACCCUCGUGGAGGCCUCGUGUCCUUCCCAGAUUACUUCUUGCUUCCAUAAAUUUUUAAAUAUUCCAAAACGGAGGAAAAUUGCCAUUAGAAUUGUUUUGGAGUCAGUUUACUUAUCGUACCACAUACCUAUUCCUUUUCAGAGUUUGAAACAUUCUGGAAACUAUCCCUUAUGUAUUCCUUCGGGGUUACAAUUUCAAUAAUAUUAGUUUCAACAUUAAUAGGGUUACCUGAGAUAUAAUGUUUGAUUCUUUGACCAUUCACAACCCUCGAACUUGUGCCUUAGAAGUUGUUGAUUUUUAUGGCACCAGAACUAUAGACUUCCUCGAUAACGUAAGGACCUUCCCAUUUAGAGAGAAGUUUUCCUGCAAAAAAUCUUAAACUAGAGUUGAAUAGAAACACAUAAUCACCUACAUUAAAAUCUCGCUUUUGUAUCCUUUUGUCAUGCCAUCUUUUAACUUUUUCUUUAAACAACUUGGCAUUCUCAUAUGCUUGGGUUCUCCAUUCAUCGAGUGAGCUAAUGUCAAAUAACCUCUUCUCACCGGCAAGUUUGAAAUCAUAGUUGAGCUCUUUAAUUGCCCAAUAUGCCUUAUGUUCAAGUUCAAGAGGUAAGUGACACGCUUUUCCAUAAACCAUCUUAUAUGGAGACAUACCCAUAGGAUUUUUAUAUGCAGUUCUAUAUGCCCAUAAUACAUCAUCAAGUUUCUUGGCCCAAUUUUUUCUAGACCUAUUAACAGUCUUUUGCAAAAUUAAUUUGAGCUCUCAAUUACUCAACUCUACUUGACCACUAGAUUGUGGGUGAUAAGGGGAUGCAAUUCUAUGAUUAACAUCAUACUUAGCAAGCAUUUUACGGAAAGCACCAUGAAUAAAAUGUGAACCACCAUCAGUCAUGAGAUAUCUAGUGACUCCAAACCUCGGGAAAAUAACAUCUUUAAGCAUCUUAAUAGAGGUGUUAUGAUCAACACUACUAGUUGGAAUAUCUUCUACCCACUUAGUAACGUAAUCAACAACAACUAAAAUAUGUGUAUAUCCAUUAGAGGCAGGAAAAGGUCCCAUAUAAUCAAAGCCCCAAACAUCAAAUGGUUCGAUAACAAGAGAAUAAUUCAUAGGGAUUUCUUGACGUCUACUAAUAUUACCAAUUCUUUGACAUUCAUCACAAGACAAGACAAACUUACGAGCAUCUUUGAAGAGAGUGGGCCAAUAAAAACCGGAUUGCAAUACCUUAUGCGUAGUUCUGUCUCCAGCGUGGUGUCCUCCAUAUGAUUCAGAGUGACACUUGCGUAGGAUCUGUUCCUGUUCAUGCUCAGGUCCACAACGUCUAAUAACACCAUCUACUCCUUCUUUAUAAAGGUGUGGGUCCUCCUAGAAGUAAUGUCUUAAAUCAUAAAAGUACUUUUUCUUUUGCUGGUAUUUGAAACUAGGUGGUAUAAAUUUAGCAACAAUGUAAUUAGCAUAAUCAACAUACCAUGGAGCAGUAUGAGAAGCAUUAAUGACUGCUAAUUGUUCAUCAAUAGGUAGUGGGACAUCAAGAACAUUCUCUAGCCUAGACAAGUUGUCUGCAAUGGGGUUCUCAGCUCCCUUUCUAUCAAUAAUUUGCAAAUCAAAUUCUUGAAGCAAGAGAACCCGUCUAAUAAGUCUAGAUUUAGCAUCUUUCUUUUCCAUAAGAUAUUUAAUAGCAGCAUGAUCAGUGUGAAUAGUAACUUUAGAAUCAAUAAUGUAAUGUCUAAACUUAUCACAAGCAAAUACAACUGCUAAGAAUUCUUUUUUAGUAGUAGCAUAAUUUCUUUGGGCAGUAUCAAGAGUCUUACUAGCAUAUUGAAUAACAUUUAAUUUUUUAUCAACUCUUUACCCUAGAACAGCACCUGCAGCAUAAUCACUAGCUUCACAUAUAAUUUCAAAGGGUAAAUUCCAAUCAGGUGGCUGAACAAUAGGUGCAGUGAUCAAAGCUUUCUUAAGUAUUUCAAAUGCUUCUACACAAUCAUCAUCAAAGACAAAAGGAAUAUCUUCUUGCAAUAAAUUAGUCAGAGGCCUAGAGAUUUUAGAAAAGUCCUUAAUGAACCUCCUAUAAAAACCGGCAUGACCAAGGAAACUUCUUAUACCUUUAAUGUCCUUGGGACAUGGCAUCUUUUCAAUAGCAUCAAUUUUAGCUUUAUCAACUUCAAUACCUCUUUCAGAAAUUUUAUGCCCAAGAAAAUGCCUUCAUUAACCAUAAAGUGACACAUUUCCCAAUUCAGGAUGAGACUAGUGUCUUCACAUCUCUGCAAAACUCGAUCAAGGUUGCUCAAGCAAUCAUCAAAAUAGGAUCCAGAGACGGAGAAGUCAUCCAUGAAUACCUCACAAAUCUUUUCACAAAAGUCAGAGAAUAUAGCCAUCAUGCAUCUUUGAAAGGUAGCAGGUGCAUUACAUAAACCAAAAUGCAUACGUCUAUAAGCAAAAGUACCAAAAGGGAAAGUAAAAGUAGUUUUAGAUUGAUCCUUCGCGGACACAGGUAGUUGAGAGAAGCCAGAAUAACCAUCUAGAAAGCAAAAAUGUGUGUGUUUGGAUAGCCUUUCUAGCAUUUGAUCAAUAAAAGGUAAAUGGUAAUGAUCUUUCUUAGUAGCUUUAUUUAACUUACGGAAAUCAAUUACCAUCCUAUAGCCUGUAAUAAUUCUUUGCGGGAUUAUUUCAUUUUAUCAUUAGGAACAAUGAUAAUACUUUCCUUUUUAGGGACACAAUGGACAGGGCUUACCCAUUCACUAUCAGCAACGGGAUAAAUUAUACCUGCCUCAAGUAGCUUUAGUAUCUCUCCUUUCUUACCACUUCUUUCAUCUUAGGGUUUAAUCGUCGUUGAGGAUCUCUAACGGGUUUGGUAUCUUUCUCCACUUUUAUUUUGUGCUGGCAUAGAGUAGGACUAAUGCCCUUAAGAUCAUCCAGAGUAUAUCCAAUAGCAGCACGGUGCUUCUUCAGAGUUUUCAAUAAUCUUUCCUCUUCCCGCUCUGAAAGGUUAGCAUUAAUAAUAACAUGAUAUAUCUUCUUUUCAUCAAGAUAACCAUAUUUGAGAUUAUCAGGUAAUGGUUUGAGCUCAAACACGGGAUCACCCUUGGGUGGAGGAGGAUCCCCUAGGAUUUCAACAGGUAAGUUGUGUUUCAAGAUAGGAACCUGCUGAAGGAAUACUUCAUCUAUUUCCCUUCUUUCAUUCAUAAACAUAUCAUUUUCAUGGUCUAGCAAAUAUUGUUCUAGCGGACCAGUAGGAGGCACGGCAAUAGAAGCAAGACCAAUUAUUUCAUCUUUACUAGAAUUCUUUAUCACGGGGUUGUCUACAAAAUUUAGCAAAAUUAAACUCGUGAGUCAUAUCAUCCAAGCCAAUUGUAACAACAUCCUUUUUGCAAUCAAUUUUAGCAUUAACAGUGUUCAAGAAGGGUCUACCAAAUAUAAUGGGACAAAAGUCAUCUUGUGGGGAACCAAGAGCAAGAAAAUCAGCAGGGUAUUUGACCUUCCCACACAACACUUUAACAUGUCUAACAAUCCCAAAAGGCUUAAUAGUAUCUCUAUUGGCAAGCUUAAUUGUAACAUCAAUAUCUUCCAACUCAGCGGGUGUAAUAUUGUGCAUACUUUAUUUAUAUAAGAAAAAGGUAUUGCACUAGCACUAGCACCCAUAUCACAUAAGCCAUGAUAACAAUGAUCUCCUAUUUUAACAGAAAUAACAGGCAUGCCAACAACAGGUCUAUGUAUCUUAGCAUUUGGUUUUGCAAUAUUAGCAGCUUCAUCACAGAAAUAAAUAACAUGCCCAUCUAUAUUAUCAUCCAAGAGAUCUUUAACCAUAGCAAUACUAGGUUCAACUUUAAUUUUCUCAGAGGGUGUAUAUGUUCUAGUAUUACUCUUACAAACAACCGUUGAAGCUUUAGCAUGAUCCUUUAUUCUAACAGGAAAAGGUGGUUUCUCAACAUAAGUAGUAGGAACAAUAGGAUCAUUAUAAGUAAUAGUCUUUUCUUCAACUGUAAUAGGUGCAACUACUUUUACUUCAAUGGGAGGAUUAUAUUUAAACCACUUCUCCUUAGGGAGAUCAAUGUGAGCAGCAAAAGAUUCACAGAAAGAAGCUACUAUCUCAGAGUCAAGUCCAUAUUUAGCACUAAAUCCUCGAAAAGCAUCGGUAUCCAUAAAAGAUUUAACACAAUCAAACUUAGGUGUUAUACCUGACUCCUUACCAUCGUCGGAAUCCCAAUCUUCAGAGUUGCGUUUAAUUCUUUCCAAUAAGUCCCACUUGAAUUCAGUAGUCUUCAGCAUAUAAGAACCAACACAUGAAGUAUCGAGCAUGAUGCGAUCAUUGAGAGAAUUUUUUUGAAUAAUCUUUUCUCUUGAUAGCUCAUGAUUGGGGCAUGAAUAUAACAUUGACUUAAGCCUCCCCCAAGCUUGAGAGAUGCUUUCUCCUCCGCGAGGCUAGAAAUUAUAUAUGUAUUACGAUCACGGUGAACAAGAUGCAUAGGAUAGAACUUCUGGUGAAAUUCCAACUUCAAUCGUUUAUGGUUCCAAGAUCCCGUAUCAUCACAUAGCCUAUACCAUGUCAAUGCAUCUCCCUUCAUAGAUAAAGGGAAAACCUUCCUCUUAACAACAUCAUCGGGAAUACCUGCAAGCUUAAAUAAUCCACAAACUUCAUCCACAAAGAUAAGGUGUAAAUCAGGAUGCAAUGUUCCAUCUCCUGCAAAGGGAUUAGCUAGCAGUUUCUCUAUCAUACCCGAAGGAAUUUUAAAGUAAACAUUUUCAGUAGGUUCAGUAGGUUGAGGAGCAACUCUUUGCUCUUCUGGUCGGGGCGAACAUGCCCCGAACAAGCCCCUCAAAGGAUUAGUUUCCAUGUAACAAGUGACAGAAAAUUUCAGCACACUAUAUAAAUGUUUCCUUACCAAGUUCCACUCACCAAAGGCGCUUCACUCCCCGGAAACGGCGCCAGAAAAAUGUCUUGAUGACCCACAAGUAUAGGGGAUCUAUCGUAGUCCUUUUGACAAGUAGGAGUGUUGAACCCAACGAGGAGCAGAUGGAAAUGACAAGCGGUUUUCAGUAAGGUAUUCUGUGCAAGCACUGAAAUUGUAGGUAACAGAUAGUUUUGUGAUAAGAUAAUUUGUAAGGAGUAACAAGCAAUGAAAGUAAAUAAAGUGCAGAAAGGUGGCCCAAUCCUUUUUGUAGCAAAGGACAAGCCUUGACAAUUUCUUAUAAUGAGAAAAGCGCUCCCGAGGAUACAUGGGAAUUACCGUCAAGCUAGUUUCAUCAUGAUCAUAUGAUUCACGUUCGGUACUUUGAUAAUUUGAUAUGUGGGUGGACCGGUGCUUGGGUACUGCCCUUACUUGGACAAGCAUCCCACUUAUGAUUAACCCCUAUUGCAAGCAUACGAAACUACAAAAUAAGUAUUAAGGUAAACCUAACCAUAGCAUGAAACAUAUGGAUCCAAAUCAACCCCUUACGAAGCAACGCAUAAACUAGGGUUUAAGCUUCUGUCACUCUAGCAACCCAUCAUCUACUUAUUACUUCCCAAUGCCUUCCUCCAGGCCCAAAUAAUGGUGAAGUGUCAUGUAGUCGACAUUCACAUAACACCACUAGAGGAGAGACAACAUACAUCUCAUCAAAAUAUCGAACGAAUACCAAAUUCACAUGACUACUAAUAGCAAGACUUCACCCAUGUCCUCAGGAACAAACGGAACUACUCACAAAGCAUAUUCAUGUUCAUAAUCAGAGGAGUAUUAAUAUGCAUAAAGGAUCUAAACAUAUGAUCUUCCACCAAGUAAACCAAUUAGCAUCAACUACAAGGAGUAAUCAACACUACUAGCAACCCACAUGUACCAAUUUGUGGUUUUGAUACAAGAUUGGAUACAAGAGAUGAACUAGGGUUUAGAGAGGAGAUGGUGCUGGUGAAGAUGUUGAUGAAGAUUGAGCCGCUCCUGAUGAGAGGAUCGUUGGUGAUGAUGAUGGUUAUGAAUUCCCCCUCCCGGAGGGAAGUUUCCCCGGUAGAGCAGCUCUGCCGGAGCCCUAGAUUGGUUCCGCCAAGGUUCCACCUCGUGGCAGAGGAGUUUCGUCUCGUGAGCUUGCCUCCGAUUUUUUCCAGGAUAAAAGACCUCAUAUAGCAGAAGAUGGGCACCGGAGGACCACCAGGGGGCCCAGGAGACAGGGGGCGCGCCCAGUAGGGGAGGGGGCACCCCCACCCUCCUGGCCAGGGUGUGGGUCCCCUCUGGUACUUUCUUUGCCCAAUAAUUCUUAUUAAAUCCAAAAAUGACUUUCGUGGAGUUGCGGGACUUUUGGAGCUGUGCAGAAUAGGUUUCCAAUUUUGCUCCUUUUCCAGCCAGAAUCCCCGCUGCCGGCAUUCUCCCUCUUCAUGAUAAACCUUGUAAAAUAAGAGAGAAUAGCCAUAAGUAUUGUGACAUAACGUGUAAUAACAGCCCAUAAUGCAAUAAAUAUUGAUAUAAAAGCAUGAUGCUAAAUGGACGUAUCAUGGACCAACACCCCCCCUCAAAGGACGGGGGAGGAGCUGAAGCUCCAUCGGCGGCCACUAUCAAUCUAGAGGCCGCUGAUGCUCUACAGGAAGCGUUGCAAUGCACUUCCAUUGUAGAGGAACACCGCGGCCUGAUGGGUGCGGUUAUGGAGAAAGUUCGUUCUGCGAAGAGCGGACUGACCGAAUCCUUCAACAGCCUACUGCCGGGCUUUGAGGUAUGCAAUGUAAUAUUCUUUACAAGUUCUUUUUUGUAUAUAUAUGUGUGUGAGGUAGAACCCAUGUAUAGACAGUAGCCCCUGAGACUCUGUCCGCAUUAGAACAAUCCGAACAAAGGAUCAACACAAGUAUAUAACGCAUUGUAUAUGUUGUUGGACAAGCGUCUAUGCUGGCGGCUACUGCCCAGGCCACAGAAAUUGCCGAGCUCAAUUGGAAGCUUCGGAUAUCCGACGAGGAACUUGACCACAUCAACAAGCGGUUUAAUGAAACCCAAGGUAUGCGGCACUACGACAUUCCCGAAAUUUAUAUGUGUAUUAGUCUUUUAAACUGACUAAAAAUGUUAUAAAAUACUCACAGUUGGCGCAGCCGAGGUCGAGUCUCUCAGGAACGCCCUCGCCGAACCCAAGAAGGAGGCAUAGGUGAGCAAGACGGCCGCGGACAAAGCGGCCAAAGAUUUGGAGGCGGAGCAAACCACCCGCCGCAGACAUGAGACGUGGGUGGGGGAGGUUGAACAGGAGCUCAAGGACGCCAUCACCAAGUGUGAGUCCUUGGAGCAAAAGAGUUCAGAAUAGGCCUCCGAGCUCACCAAAGCUCUUGAGAGCAUGAAGGAAGCCUGGGUUGAUGCACAGGGCGCUCGACAGGAGAUCCAAUAGGCGAGGCAGAUUGCGGCUGGUAAGGCCUUUAUCAUGCAGAGUAGAUUUACUAGUAAGAGAUAUAUUUUACUGACCCGAGUUUGGAGUUCUCCAAGCGCCUUUGCAGAUCUGCCGAGGAGUAUUGCGGAUGCCGCCGCAUUCUUCCAAGCCGAAGAGGGGAGCUCGACGGAGAAGUUGUUCUGGUCACAGUGUCUUGCACCAAAACUUCCAGUGCCCCUUAGUGACCAGCUGAAGCAGCUGUCCGAGCUGCACAGGGUGGCCGGACUGGCCAUGAAGGAUGUAAUAGUCCGCCUAUGGCCGACCGAGUCCAUACCCAGCAGCCACUUCGAACUCGUGAAGCGGUUGGUGGAUGCGCUUCCUUGGAUCGAGACCCUCAAGCGGUCGUCCUGCAUAUAAGGUGCCUUGACGGCCUUCGCCCACGUCAAGAUUUGGUGGGCGAAAGAUGAAGGCCACUGAGAUUGCCACCGCAGGGCCACCUGAAGGCAAGGAUCACCGGCGGCCGGAGAGGUACUUCGAUGAGGUCCUCGAGGGAGCCUGCAUUGUAGAGGGCCAGUUCUCAAAGGACAUCAUAUUUAAAUAGUUGAGUCCGUUUUGUAAGAGUCAUAUAAUGAACUCGUGAUGUAUAAUAUAUAUAUGCUUGCGCUUUAUAAUUAGUUUAUCCUGCUUUUUGGCCGUUUAUAAAUCUGAAAGUUUACCAGUCGUCGGCUUCUGCCCCACGUAAAUAUUACAGGGGUGUUUGGGAACACAUGACCGCACUUUAUCCAACGUCUUGGUCCGAUGUAGGAGGCGUCUUGCAAAGUGAACCAGGCAAUCAGACUAUGCGGAUUUAGUACUUUCACUUGGCCAUAAGAGUCCAUCGGUGGUGCUAAGUACUAGCCCCUUGUUGCAUGAACGGAAAUCCAGAGUACGGCGCCUUUGCAAUGCAGCUGGUCAAAUCCGAGCCCCUCGUAUACCACGGCAUAAAUCGCGAACGAUUUGUAGUAUGACACCGAGUCACCGGAUCGCUGACCCGUAGUUUUCGGCUUUCUCUACUGAGGUACUUAACCGGAUGAACCAGAAAUACAAUCGCAAUAGUUCUCCCUUUACUACGUUAGCUGAACUUGCGGAACGUAAGGUGACAAACACAGCUGCCGGGCAACCCAACUAUAGACCAAAGACAUGAUUCGGAGCCGAUGCAUAUAAUGCAAUAUUCGGGACGCUGAAGAGUUCCCUAUAGGUGUCUGGACUUAAGAGUUUUGCGGGGCCGAAUACAACCCCUGGUAUGAAGGUUGUGCCGAACCACACAUGUCAGUUGAACGUAAGGGGGAACACAGAUGACAAGGUAAUACCAGGACCCAACCAAGAAGGUGAUAAUCAUCUGCUUCCUUUAUAUCUUUAUUCAUACGUCAACGACAGACAACACCGUUCAAUACUAAGGUCAUAUUGCAUGACCAAAGGGAAAAAGAAAAGGUUUUACAUAAGGGAAAGUAUAACACAGGGCCUAAAGAUCAUAGUUGAAAAAAGAAGCUCCAUGAUGCCCUGCCGCAUGUCUGCGCCAUUUCUCCUUAGUAAUAAGUCCUUUGAGAGGAGCAUUUGAUGGUUGGGAAAUGCUAGCCUCAAAAGGAACUCCUGCAACAACCAUCUAGCAAGUAGGGCUCUUGAUGAACCUGUCGUAAGACAAAAGAGAUAUAUGCGGUACAAAUAGGGUCAAGCUGUACAAUGUACCUCUUCUGUAGUGUGCCUCCAGCACCGCCCAAGGUAUUUUUAGUGUGUAAUUAUGUACGCACGGUACACAAACCGCAACCUGGUAGGGCGAUCGGUGGAGGCCGAACUGCUAAUCAAGGUCCGGAUAUGUUGAUUUAUCGCUAUUAUGCAUGGACCAGACUCGUUUGGAUACGUCAUUGGCUUUAUUGGCCGGUGAACUAUUCGACUUGAUAAGGCCACCACAUUUCGGCUGCAAGGGCCGCUGUGUGCUCUUUAGUACGGAGGGAGUGCUCCGUGUUACCAUUGGCUAUAAUAACACCACGGGGUCUGGGCAUCUUAAGCUUUAAGUAAGCAUAGUGCGGGACUACAUUAAAGCGGGCGAAAGUAGUUUGUCCGAGCAGUACGUGAUAGCCACUGUGGAAAGGGAUGAUGUCGAAGAUCAAUUCUUCACUGUGAAAGUUGUCUGGGGAGCCAAGAACUACCUCCAGUGUUAGUGAGCACGUGCAACGGGCCUCCACUCCUUGUAUCACACCUUUAAAGGUAGUGUUACUAGGCUUGAUUCUUGAUGGGUCAAUGCCCAUCUUACGGACAGUGUCUUGAUAAAGCAAGUUGAGACUGCUACCUCCGACCAUAAGGACUCUAAUGAGGUGUUAUCCGUAAAUAGUUGGAUCAAGUACCAGGGCAGCCGAACCCCCGUGACGGAUACUGGUUGGGUGAUCCCUAUGAUCAAAGGUUAUCGGACAGGCUGACCAUGGGUUGAACUUGGGGGCGAAAGGCUCUACAGCGUAGACGUCCCAUUGUGUGCGCUUGCGCUCCCUUUUGGGAAUGUGAGUGACAUAGAUCAUGUUCACUGUAUUUACUUUGGGGGGGGGGGAAACUGCUUCUAAUCCCCGGUGUUCGGCUGACGAGGCUCAUCAUCGUCUUCGGUUGGAGGUCCCUUUCCCUUGUGUUCGGUGUUUAUCUUACCGGCCUAUUUGAAAAUCCAACAAUUCCUAUUGGUGUGGUUCACAGGCUUAUCAGGUGUGCCAUGAAUCUGACAGGGCCUCUCGAGGAUUUUAUCCAAGCUGGAUGGCCCAUCUUUGUUGCCUUUGAAAGGUUUCUUCCACUGACCGGACUUAGGGCCGCUGAAUCUGGUAUUGACUAUCGUAUCGUCUGCGUUGUUGCUUCUACGAGCCAACCAGCUAUCCUUGCCCGCACAAAAGUGGGUCAUAAGUGUAGUUAAGGCUGCCAUGGUCUUCAGUUUUUCCAGCCUGAGGUGUCGAGCAAGCCAUUCGUCUCGGACGCUGUGUUUGAAGGCCGCUAAGGCUUCGGCGUCCAGACAAUCCACGAUCUGGUUCUUUUUAGUUAAGAAACGGUUCCAAAGUUUACAAGCUAAUUCACCUGGUUGUUGGAUUAUGUGACUCAAGUCGUCAGCAUCCGGUGGCCAGACAUAAGUGCCCUGAAAGUUGGCCUAAAAGGUGUCUUCCAAUCUUCCCAGGUUCCAAUGGAGUUUUUUGGGAGGCUGUUUAGCUAGUGCUGUGCUAGUCCCUUCAACUUUAGAGGAAGAUAUUUAAUGGCGUGGAGAUCAUGUCCUCAAGCCAUGUGGAUGUGGAGAAGAAAAUCUGCAAUCCAGACGGUCAGAUCCGUUGUUCCAUUGUAUUGUUCAAUGUUUACAGUUUUAAACCCUUCCGGAAAUUGGUGUUCCAUGACCUCGUUGUGAAGCAUAAGGGGUGUGCGGCCCCUCUAUAUCACGCAAUAUCGCGACGGAGAUCGGCUGGCAUCUGAGUUCGGUUCUGUUCCCCAGUAUAGUAAUGAUCGUCAUGAUAGGCUUCAUAGUAGUUGUUUCGUGCCAGGGCAUGGCCCCUUGAUCUGUAGAUUGAUCUAGUCUAACCAGCUUUAUUGGCUAGGUCAUGUUGCAAGUCAUAUGUGUAUCCCGCAGCUGCUGUCUCCUUGCCUCUUCAGUGAGGGGGUGUAGGUUGGUGUUUGGCUUGAUAUGUCGCUUUAUCCCGUCCACGUGGUGGUCGGUCUGGUUGAUCUUCCUGAUUGUGUUUCGACGGUAUUGUGUCAAAGGCUUCAUCAUUCUAUUGCAGAAGGAGCUUUCGCUUAGGGUAACUUUUGGUAGGUCGCUCGUGGCUGUACUCCUCAGCGGCCAGGACCUUAGUCCACCUUUCAUUGAGCGUAUCCUGUUCGGCUUUGAGCUUCUACUAUAUCUUUUUAAGCUUCGGGCUGUAGCAAUGAGCUGUCGCUUGAAGCGUUCUUGUUUGAGGGGUUCCUCUGGGAUGAUAAAAUCUUCAUCGCCGAGGGCCGAGGCUGACCUCCUCUUCGGAUUCUGCCAUAUAGUUUGUGUCCUCCGAAUCUUUGUGAUCAACGUGUUCGGGACUAUGUUCACCUUGUUUCCUCUCGUCUUGUUCAGAUGUGGGCUCGACGGGGUAUUUGGGAUCUUCGGCAUCGUUUGGAGUCUCAUUGUCUCCGGUGCUGGUAUUACUGUCCUUCGCCCGACGUGAUUGUGAGCGGCACUGAUAAUGUCGGUGCUUUGGUGGUUUAUCGACGGGUUUGUCCUCAUUAGGGUUUUGAUUAUCCUUAUCAUCCUUUUUAUCAGGAGUGUCCAACAUGUAUACGUCGUAAAUUGAUGUUGUCGUCCAAUGCCCUGUGAUGGGUGGGACUUGGCUCGGUUCGGCGUCUGCAUCAUCGUCAAUACCGUCGAUGUCUUCGGACGUGUAGUCCAGCAUGUCGGUUAAAUCCUCAACAGUGGCUACUAAGUGGGUGGUGGGUGGGGUGUAAAAUUCUCCAGUCUCAGCCUCCAGCCCGAGCUGGGUAUAGUUCGGCGAUAAAGCCUCGGUGAUGGCGAGAGCCUGCAUCAAUCCCAAUGUUUCGUCUAGGAGUGGAAGUUUGACUGGAAAAUGUGGAUCUGUAGGGCUGAGUUCGGCAUGAGACGCCUGAUCGGACUCAAUGAGUGCAGACCUCGACAGUUUGGGGCGGUUUCCCAGGGCCAAGUCUAAGAUCGGAUCUGGGUCUUCGGUCGGGAGUUCCAUAAGGGGAAGAGGUCCGGUGGGGCUCUCGCUCUCGUUUUCGGACCAUGAGGCCCGCCCCGGAUCUAAGGCCGAGGUGGGUAUGAGUGUUGACCCCUGGUCAAGAUCUAAUAAGGGAUCCGAAGAGUCUUCUUGGCGGGGACACAGAGUAGCAGUAGAGGCUCGUCGGAUGUCAGCAACAUAGUUCAGGUUUCCAAACCUAAUCCGGCGGCUAGGGGCUUAACUGUCGACCUGCUCAAGGCGGCCGAUCGAGUUGGCGCGAAGCACAAAGCCACCGAACAAAAAGACCUAUCCAGGGAGAAAGGUUUCCAUGGAUGCGGCAUCAUCAUUGAUUAAGAGGUGAGCCAUCGAUCCCUCUAUCAACAAUACAACGGAGCUCUCAAUGAAAGCACCAAUGUCGGUGUCAAAACUGACAGAUCUCGGGUAAGGGGGCCCAAGCUGUAUGUAUGAGGACCGAUGAUAACUAUGAACAAAGGACAUUGUUUUCCCAAGUUCGGGCCCUCUUAAGAGAGGUAAAACCCUACUCCUGCUUAAUUAUAUUCAAGGGGUAUAGGGGUUACAAGAGUUGAUCUACCACGAGAUCUAGCAAUGUUGUGGUCUUGCCUCCGAUCUACCCUCCCGUUUAUAUAGACAUCGGAGGGGCUUAGGGUUGUACAAAGUCGGUUUUACAGAAAGGAAUAACAUAUUCGGACAACUAUACUUGCCAUGCACGCAUAAGGGAGUCCCUACCGGACAUGAGAGGUGAUCUUCUGUCUUGUAUCUUGACGGCCCAUCACUCCGGCCCAUAUCCAAUAGACCAGACGCCUGAGGACCCCCUAGUCCAGGACUCCCACACCAGGGGAGGUCUGUGGGGCCCACAAGACACCAGGGCAUGCCAGAGGCCCCUAGCGCGCCCUGAUGGGUUGUGGGGCCCAGAGAGGUCAUCUCCACCGCCUCUCGGCUCUAUAAAUAUCCAAAUAUUUCAGAAACCCUAGGGAAGUCGAUGAAACACAAUUCCAGCCGCCGCAAGUUCCAGAACCACAAGAUCCAAUCUAGAGCCCUAUUCCGGCACCUUGCCGGAGGGGAACACGAUCACGGAGGGGUUCAUCAUCCUCAUUGGUGCUCCUCCGAUGAUGCGUGAGUAGUUCACCAUAGACCUAUGGGUCCGUAGGCAGUAGCUAGAUGGCUUCUUCUCUCUUUGAUCUUCAAUAAAAUGGUCUCCUUGAUGAAAUCUAUUUGAUGUAUCUCUUUUGCGGUGUGUUUAUUGGGAUCCUAUGAAUUGCGAGUUUAUGAUCAGUUCUAUCCAUGAAUAUUAUUUGAGUCCUCUUUGAUCUCUUAUAUGCAUGAUUGUUAUAGACUCGUAUUUCUUCUCUAAAACUUUGGUUUAGUUUGGCCAACUAGAUUGAUUUUUCUUGCAAUGGGAAGAGGUGCUUUGUGAUGGGUUCCAUCUUGCGGUGGCCUCACCCAGUGACAGAAGGGGUAGCAAGGCACAAAUGUAUCAUUGCUAGUAAGGAUAAAAAGAUGGGAUCUAUUCCUACAUGAAUAGAUCUUGUCUACACCAUGCCUAUAUACAUGAUCAUUACCUUGGAUAUCGUCAUAACUAUUUGCUCUUCUGUCAAUUUCCCAAUAGUAUUUUUUACCCACCGUAUGCUAUUUUCUCGAGAGAAGCCACUAGUGAAAUCUACGCCCCCCGGGUCUAUUUUCUAUCAUAUUGUUUUUCAGAUAUAUUACUCCAAAAAGCCAAAAAUACCUUGCUUCACUUUUUCUUUCUUUAUUUUAUUUUUUUGUUUUUGCAAGAUCUAUUUAUCCAGUCUCAUACAAUUUAAUCUAUUUGAAUACCGUGGAGGGAUUGACAAGCCCUCUUACGUGUUGGGUUGCAAGUUUUUGUUAUUUGUGUGAAGUUACUGUUUACAUAGUGUUGCCUGGUUCUCCUACUGGAUUGAUACCUUGAUUCAUAACUGAGGGAAAUUCUUACCAUUGAUGUACUGCAUCAUCCUCUCCUCUUUGGGGAAAUAGGAAUGCAGAUACAAGCAAUCAAUAAUGUCGACCCAGCUGAUAUGACCCCUCUUGUUGGGGAUAUAACUCCAAGGUGUGACCCGCCUAGGAGGGGCUGGGUUACACCGAUGUCGGUUUAACAUGAAGAAGGUCCAAAGAGGCCCAAUGAGAAGUAUGAAGACAACGACUCUUGGAGGCAGGCCUGGUGAAGGCCCGAGACCGGGGUCUGUGAACCAUCGAAGGAAGACUUGCUCCGUAAGGCAUGACUAGUUAGAAACCGAGGCGGUCACGUUGUGUGAGCCGGCCGGGACUCUAUAAGCCUUCGGGUCUCUACCUGUGUAUAUAAAGGUGAUGCCCGGCGGCGGGUUAACUCAAGAAACAAGUAAUUGAGAACAAGGUCAAGUGUAUUCACUCCCUUGUAAUCGAAAAACAACAGUACAACUAGAAGCAGGACGUAGGCUUUUACCUCCACCAUGAGGGGACGAACCUAGGUAAACUCCUUGUGUCCUUUGUCCUGUUCAACCCCUUGAAGCUAACCUAAGUCGCGAUGGCUCCACACCUAAGUCCUUCCACUAGGGCAUCUACCGUGACAAAUCCACGAUAGUUGGUGCCCAUCGUGGGGCAAGAGCACGGUGGUUUCAAGUUCUUGAAGGGAAACUUCUCAAGGAUCAAGGGAUACACCAUGGGUCUGAUGACCAAGAGCCACUACGGCAAGAUAUACAUCGAUGAUUCUAGUUGGGGUUCGAGGCCGAUUUAAUUGAGUAUGGGUAUCGGGCCCCCUUCGGUAGAAUUCAAGUCUUCAUCGGCAAGAUUGGCGAGUUAGAUCCUGAGCCGGUCACCUGCGUCGAAACCGUUGAGACGGCUCGGCGCGUGAGACCCGCCAAGGUCCAACCCUCCCGGAAGUGUGCAUUCAUCGGUUUUAUCCAUGGGAUGGAUCCUAAGGAGGGUUCUGUGGCUGGUGGAGAAGCGACCAUCUAUUCAGGUGAUGAAUCUUCAACCGGCGAGACCAAAUCAAUCUAUUGACUGCAAGAUGGUGGGCUUGGGGGCUAUUAUGAUGGUGAAAGUAUUCCAGAGCCCUAUGAGGCGCCGACCAGGGCUGCUAUCUUCAUGGACGGUACGCAACAGAUGCUAAAUUCAUCAACUGUUGUGGCUAUGAACUCUAGUUCAACGGCUGUUGCGACGGCCGGGGCAAGCGGCCCUGUGUGCCUGCUGGCUUAGGUCUUAUCCGAGCUCUUGGGUGCUUUGGCAACUCUAUUAGCUGUAGAGGUAACCCCAGCGACUCAAGCACAACAUAAGGUGGAAGUUGCUGUUGGGGAACGUAGCAGAAAUUCAAAAUUUUCCUACGUGUCACCAAGAUCUAUCUAUGGAGAAACCAGCAACUAGGGGAAGGAGAGUGCAUCUACAUACCCUUGUAGAUUGCUAAGCGGAAGCGUUCAAGAGAAUAGGGUUGAAGGAGUCGUACUCGUCGUGAUCCAAAUCACCGGAGAUCCUAGUGCCGAACGGACGACACCUCCGCGUUCAACACACGUACAACCCGGUGACGUCUCCCAUGCCUUGAUCCAGCAAGGAGAGAUGGAGAGGUUAUGUAAGACUCCGUACAGCAGCAGCACAAUGGCGUGGUGGUCGUGGAGGAGCGUGGCAAUCCUGCAGGGCUUCGCCAAGCACCGCGGGAGAGGAGGAGAACUUGGGAGAGGGGUGGGCUACGCCAGAACUUGGGUGCGGCUAUCCUCCCACCCCCCACAUAUAUAUAGGGGAAAGGGAGAGGGGGGGCGGCCUCCUCAGAUCCAAUCUGAGGAGGGGGCGGCGGCCAAGGGGGGGAGGAGUGCCUCCCAAGUUAAGUGGAGGCCCUCCCCCUUAGGGUUUCCCCUCUCCCAUGCGCAUGGGCCUUGGGGGGGCUGGUGCCCCUGGACCAUUAAGGCUAGGGAGCCCCCCUACAGCCCAUGCUGCUGUAUUGGACAUGGUGGAACAAUUUCCGGACCUCCGGACCCCACCGGAAUCCUCCGGAACCUUCUGGAAGCUUCCCGGUACAAUACCGGAAAAACCCGAACUUUUCUCGGAACCCGAAAAACAACUUUCCAUAUAUAAAUCUUUACCACCGGACCAUUCUGGAACUCCUCGUGAUGUCCGGGAUCUCAUCCGGGACUCUGAACAACAUUCGGUAACCACAUACAAACUUCCUUUAUAACCCUAGCGUCAUCGAAUCUUAAGUGUGUAGACCCUACGGGUUCGGGAACCAUGCAGACAUGACCUAGACGUUCUCCGGCCAAUAACCAACAGCGGGAUCUGGAUACCCAUGUUGGCUCCCACAUGUUCCACGAUGAUCUCAUCGGAUGAACCACGAUGUCAAGGACUCACUCAAUCCCGUAUACAAUUCCCUUUGUCUAGCGGUAUUGUACUUGCCCGAGAUUCGAUCGUCGGUAUGCCGAUACCUUGUUCAAUCUCGUUAUCGGCAAGUCUCUUUACUCGUUCCAUAACACAUCAUCCCUUGAUCAACCCCUUGGUCACAUUGUGCACAUUAUGAUGAUGUCCUACCGAGUGGGCCCAGAGAUACCUCUCCGUUAACCGGAGUGACAAAUCCCAGUCUCGAUUCAUGCCAACCCAAUAGACACUUUCGGAGAUAGCUAUAGUGCACCUUUAUAUCCACCCAGUUACGUUGUGACUUUUGGUACACCCAAAGCAUUCCUACGGUAUCCAGGAGUUGCACAAUCUCAUGGUCUAAGGAAAUGAUACUUGACAUUAGAAAAGCUUUAGCAUACGAACUACACGAUCUUUGUGCUAGGCUUAGGAUUGGGUCUUGUCCAUCACAUCAUUCUGCUAAUGAUGUGAUCCUGUUAUCAACGACAUCCAAUGUACAUGGCCAGGAAACCAUAACCAUCUAUUGAUCAACGAGCUAGUCAACUAGAGGCUUACUAGGGACAUGGUGUUGUCUAUGUACCCACACAUGUAUCUGAGUUUCCUAUCAAUACAAUUAUAGCAUGGAUAAUAAACGAUUAUCAUGAACAAGGAAAUAUAAUAAUAACUAAUUUAUUAUUGCCUCUAGGGCAUAUUUCCAACAGUCUCCCACUUGCACUAGAGUCAAUAAUCUAGUUCACAUCGCCAUGUGAUUAACACUCACAGGUCACAUCGCCAUGUGACCAACAUCCAAAGAGUUUACUAGUGUCACUAAACCAGUUCACAUCAUCAUGUGAUUAAGACUCAAUGAGUUCUGGGGUUUGAUCAUGUUUUGCUUGUAAGAGAGGUUUUAGUCAACGGGUCUGCAACAUUCAGAUCCGUAUGUACUUCGCAAUUCUCUAUGUCAUAUUGUAAAUGCUGCUUCCACGCUCCACUUGGGGCUAUUCCAAAUGGUUGCUCCACUAUACAUAUCCGGUUUGCUACUCAGAGUCACUCGGAUAGGUGUUAAAGCUUGCAUCGACGUAACCCUUUACGCCGAACUCUUUAUCACCUCCAUAAUCGAGAAACAUGUCCUUUAUUUACUCCAAGGACAAUUUUGACCGCUGUCCAAUGAUCCAUUCCUGGAUCAUUCUUGUACCCCUUGACUGACUCAUGGCAAGGCACACUUCCGGUGCGGUACACAACAUAGCAUACUAUAGAGCCUACGUCUGAAGCAUAGGGGACGACCUUCGUCCUUUCUCUCUCUUCUGCCGUGGUCGACCUUUAACUCUUAACUUCAUACCUUACAACUCAGACAAGAACUCCUUCUUUGACUGAUCCAUCUUGAACACCUUCAAGAUUAUGUCAAGGUAUGUGCUCAUUUGAAAGUAUUAUUAAACAUUUUGAUAUAUAUUAUAGAUCUUGAUGCUUAUUGUUCAAGUAGCCUAAUCCAGGUUUUCCAUUGAAAAACAUUUUUCAAACAACCCUAUAUGCUUUCCAGAAAUUCUACAUCAUUUCUGAUCAACAAUAUGUCAACAACAUAUACUCAUCAGAAAUUCUAUAGUGCUCCCACUCACUUCUUUGGAAAUACAAGUUUCUCAUAAACUUUGUAUAAACCCAAAAUCUUUGAUCAUCUUAUCAAAGUGCAUAUUCCAACUCCGAGAUGCUUACUCCAGUCCAUGGAAGGAUCGCUGGAGCUAGCAUACCUUUUAGCAUCCUUAGGAUCGACAAAACCUUUCUGAUUGUAUCACAUACAACCUUUCCUUACAAAAACUGGUAAGGAAACUCAUUUUGACAUCCAUCUGCCAGAUUUCAUAAAUGCAGCUAAUGCUAACAUGAUUCCGACGGACUUAAGCAUCGCUGCGGAUGAGAAAAUCUCAUCGUAGUAAACUCCUUGAACUUGUGAAAAACUCUUCGCCACAAGUCGAGAUUCAUAGACGAUGAAAUUACCGUCCACGUCCAUCUUCUUCUUAAAGAUCCAUUAAUCUUAAUGGCUUGCCGAUCAUCGGGUAAGUCCACCAAAGUCCAUGAUACAUGGAUCCUAUCUCGGAUUUCAUGGCUUCUAACCAUUUGUCGGAAUUUGGGCCCACCAUCGCUUCUCCAUAGCUCAUAGGUUCAUUGUUGUCUAGCAACAUGACCUUCAAGACAGGAUCACCGUACCACUCCGAAGCAGUACGCAUCCUUGUCUCCUUACGAGGUUCGAUAGUGACUUGAUCCGAAGCUUCAUGAUCACUAUCAUAAGCUUCCACUUCAAUUGGUGUAGGUGCCACAGGAACAACUUCCUGUGCCCUGCUACACACUGGUUGAAGUGAUGGUUCAAUAACCUCAUCAAGUCUCCACCAUCCUCCCACUCAAUUCUUUCCAGAGAAACUUUUCCUCGAGAAAGGACCCGUUUCUAGAAAUAAUCACUUUUGCUUCCGGAUCUUAAUUAGGAGGUAUACCCAACCAUUUUGGUUAUCCUAUGAAGAUGCAUUUAUCNNNNNNNNNNNNNNNNNNNNNNNNNNNNNNNNNNNNNNNNNNNNNNNNNNNNNNNNNGUUUUGGGUUCGAGCUUAUCACGAUGAAACUUUUUCACAUAAGCGUCGCAGCCCCAAACUUUCAAGAAACGACAACUUAGGUUUCUCUAAACCAUAGUUCUCACGGUGUCAUCUCAAAGGAAUUACGUGGUGCCCUAUUAAAGUGAGUGCGGUUGUCUCUAAUGCCUAACCCAUGAACGAUAGUGGUAAUUCGACAAGAGACAUCAUGGUACGCACCAUAUCCAAUAGGGUGCAACUAUGAUGUUCGGACACACCAUCAAACUAUGGUGUUCCAGGCGGUAUUAAUUGUGAAACAAUUUCCACAAUGUCUUAAUUGCGUGCCAAAGCUCGUAACUCAGAUACUCAUCUCUAUGAUCAUAUCAUAGACAUUUUAUCCUCUUGUCACAAUGAUCUUCAACUUCACUCUGAAAUUAAUUGAACCAUUCAAUAAUUCAGACUUGUGUUUCAUCAAGUAAAUAUACUCAACAUUUACUCGAAUCAUCUGUGAAGUAAGAACAUAACGAUAUUCACUACAUGCCUCAGCACUCAUUGGACUGCACACAUCAAAAUGUGUUACUUCCAACAAGUUGCUAUCUUGUUCCAUCUUACUAAAAUCGAGGCUUUUUAGUCAUCUUGCCCAUGUGGUAUGAUUUGCAUAUCUCAAGUGAUUCAAAAUCAAGUGAGUCCAAACGAUCCAUCUGCAUGGAGUUUCUUCAUGCGUAUACACCAAUAGACAUGGUUCGCAUGUCUCAAACUUUUCAAACACGAGUGAGUCCAGAGAUCCAUCAACAUGGAGCUUCUUCAUGCGUUUUAUACCAAUAUGACUUACAUGGCAGUGCCACAAGUAAGUGGUACUAUCAUUACUAUCUUAUAUCUUUUGGCAUGAAAAUGUGUAUCACUACGAUCGAGAUUCAAUAAACCAUUCCUUUAGGUGGAAGACCAUUGAAGGUAUUAUUCAAAUAAAUAGAGUAACCAUUAUUCUCCUUAAAUGAAUAACCGUAUUGUGAUAGACAUAAUCCAAUCAUGUCUAUUCUCAACGCAAACACCAAAUGACAAUUAUUCAGGUUUAAUACUAAUCUUGAUGGUAGAGGGAGCGUGCGAUGUUUGAUCACAUCAAACUUGGAAACACUUCCAACACAUAUCGUCAGCUCACCUUUAGCUAGUCUCCGUUUAUUCCGUAGCUCUUUUAUUUUGAGUUACUAACACUUAGCAACCGAACCGGGAUUUUAAUACCCUGGUGCUACUAGGAGUAUUAGUAAAGUACACAUUAACAUAAUGUAUAUCCAAUAUACUUCUAUCGACCUUGGCAGCCUUCUCAUCUACCAAGUAUCUAGGGUAAUCCUGCUCUAGUGGCUGUUCCCCUUAUUACAGAAGCACUUAGUCUCGGGUUUGGGUUCAACCUUGGGUUUAUUCACUAGAGUAGCAGCUGAUUUGCCGUUUCAUGAAGUAUCCCUUCUUGCCCUUGCCCUUCUUGAAACUAGUGGUUUUACCAACCAUCAACAAUUGAUGCUCCUUCUUGAUUUCUACUUUCGCGGUGUCGAACAUCGCGAAUAGCUCAAGGAUCAUCAUAUCUAUCCCUGUUAAGUUAUAGUUCAUCACAAAGCUCUAGUAGCUUGGUGGCAAUGUCUUUGGAGAAACAUCACUGUCUCAUCUGGAAGAUUAACUCCCACUCGAUUCAAGUGAUUGUUGUACCCAGACAAUCUGAGUAUAAGCUCAACGAUUGAGAUCUUCUCCCUUGGUUUGUAGGCUAGAAAACUCAUCGGAGGUGUCAUACCUCUUGACGUGGGCACGAGCCUGAAAUCCCAAUUUCAGCCCUCGAAACAUCUCAUAUGUUCCGCCACGUUUCGAAAACGUCUUUUGGUGCCUCAACUCUAAACCAUUUAACUGAACUAUCACGUAGUUAUCAAAAACGUGUAUGUCAAAUGUUCGCAACAUCCACAGACAACAUUCGAGGUUCAGCACACUGAGCGGUGCAUUAAGGACAUAAGCCUUCUACGAAGCAACGAGGACAAUCCUCAGUUUAUGGACCCAGUCCGCAUAAUUGCUACUAUCAACUUUCAACUAAAUAUUCUCUAGGAACAUAUCUAAAACAAUAGAACUAAAGCGCGAGCUAUGACAUAAUUUGCAAAAAAUCUUUUGACUAUGUUCAGGAUAAUUAAGUUCAUCUUAUGAACUCCCACUCAUAUAGACAUCCCUCUAGUCAUCUAAGUGAUUACAUGAUCCAAGUCAACUAGGCCGUGUCCGAUCAUCACGUGAGACGGACUAGUCAUCAUCGCUGAACAUCUUCAUGUUGAUCAUAUCUACUAUACGACUCAUGCUCGACCUUUCGGUCUCUUGUGUUCCGAGGCCAUGUUUGUACAUGCUAGGCUCGUCAAGUUAACCUAAGUGUUUCGCGUGUGUAAAUCUGGCUUACACCCGUUGUAUGUGAAUGUAAGAAUAUAUCACACCCGAGCAUCACGUGGUGCUUCGAAACAAUGAACUUUCGCAAUGGUGCACAGUUAGGGGGAACACUUUCUUGAAAUUUUAAUGAGGGAUCAUCUUAUUUACUACCGUCAUUCUAAGCAAAUAAGAUGUAGAAACAUGAUAAACAUCACAUGCAAUCAAAAAGUGACAUGAUAUGGCCAAUAUCAUUUUGCUCCUUUUGAUCUCCAUCUUCGGGGCUCCAUGAUCAUCAUCGUCACUGGCAUGACACCAUGAUCUCCAUCAUCAUGAUCUCCAUCAUCGUGUCUGCAUGAAGUUGUCUCGCCAACUUAUUACUUCUACUACUAUGGCUACCGGUUAUCAAUAAAGUAAAGUAAUUACAUGGCGUUGUUCAAUGACACGCAGGUCAUACAAUAAAUAAAGACAACUCCUAUGGCUCCUGCCGGUUGUCAUACUCAUCGACAUGCAAGUCGUGAUUCUUAUUACAAGAACAUGAUCAAUCUCAUACAUCACAUAUCAUUCAUCACAUUCUUCUUGGCCAUAUCACAUCACAUAGCAUACCCUGCAAAAACAAGUUAGACGUCCUCUAAAUGUUGUUUGCAUGUUUUACGUGGCUGCUAUGGGUUUCUAGCAAGAACAUUUCUUACCUACGCAAAACCACAACGUGAUAUGCCAAUUGCUAUUUACCCUUCAUAAGGACCCUUUUCAACGAAUCCGUUCCGACUAAAGUGGGAGAGACUAACACCCGCUAGCCACCUUAUGCACCAAGUGCAUGUCAGUCGGUGGAACCUGUCUCACGUAAGAGUACGUGUAAGGUCGGUCCGGGCCGCUUCAUCCCACAAUACCGUCGAAACAAGAUUGGACUAGUAACGGUAAGAAUAUUGAACAAAAUCAACACCCACAACUACUUUGUGUUCUACUCGUGCAUAGAAUCUACGCAAUAGACCUAGCUCAUGAUGCCACUGUUGGGGAACGUAGCAGAAAUUCAAAAUUUUCCUACGUGUCACCAAGAUCUAUCUAUGGAGAAACCAGCAACGAGGGGAAGGAGAGUGCAUCAACAUACCCUUGUAGAUUGCUAAGCGGAAGUAUUCAAGAGAACGGGGUUGAAGGAGUCGUACUCGUCGUGAUCCAAAUCACCAGAGAUCCUAGUGCCGAACGGACGACACCUCCGCGUUCAACACACGUACAACCCGGUGACGUCUCCCAUGCCUUGAUCCAGCAAGGAGAGAUGGAGAGGUUAUGUAAGACUCCGUCCAGCAGCAGCACAAUGGCGUGGUGGUCGUGGAGGAGCGUGGCAAUCCUGCAGGGCUUCGCCAAGCACCGCGGGAGAGGAGGAGAACUUGGGAGAGGGGUGGGCUGCGCCAGAACUUGGGUGCGGCUAUCCUCCCACCCCCCACAUAUAUAUAGGGGAAAGGGAGAGGGGGGGGCGGCCUCCUCAGAUCCAAUCUGAGGAGGGGGCGGCGGCCAAGGGGGGGAGGAGUGCCUCCCAAGUCAAGUGGAGGCCCUCCCCCUUAGGGUUUCCCCUCUCCCAUGCGCAUGGGCCUUGGGGGGGCUGGUGCCCCUGGACCAUUAAGGCUAGGGAGCCCCCCUACAGCCCAUGCUGCUGUAUUGGACAUGGUGGAACAAUUUCCGGACCUCCGGACCCCACCGGAAUCCUCCGGAACCUUCUGGAAGCUUCCCGGUACAAUACCGGAAAAACCCGAACUUUUCCCGGAACCCGAAAAACAACUUUCCAUAUAUAAAUCUUUACCUCCGGACCAUUCUGGAACUCCUCGUGAUGUCUGGGAUCUCAUCCGGGACUCUGAACAACAUUCGGUAACCACAUACAAACUUCCUUUAUAACCCUAGCGUCAUCGAACCUUAAGUGUGUAGACCCUACGGGUUCGGGAACCAUGCAGACAUGACCUAGACGUUCUCCGGCCAAUAACCAACAGCGGGAUCUGGAUACCCAUGUUGGCUCCCACAUGUUCCACGAUGAUCUCAUCGGAUGAACCACGAUGUCAAGGACUCACUCAAUCCCGUAUACAAUUCCCUUUGUCUAGCGGUAUUGUACUUGCCCGAGAUUCGAUCGUCGGUAUGCCGAUACCUUGUUCAAUCUCGUUACCGGCAAGUCUCUUUACUCGUUCCAUAACACAUCAUCCCUUGAUCAACCCCUUGGUCACAUUGUGCACAUUAUGAUGAUGUCCUACCGAGUGGGCCCAGAGAUACCUCUCCGUUACCCGGAGUGACAAAUCCCAGUCUCGAUUCAUGCCAACCCAAUAGACACUUUCGGAGAUAGCUGUAGUGCACCUUUAUAGCCACCCAGUUACGUUGUGACGUUUGGUACACCCAAAGCAUUCCUACGGUAUCCGGGAGUUGCACAAUCUCAUGGUCUAAGGAAAUGAUACUUGACAUUAGAAAAGCUUUAGCAUACGAACUACACGAUCUUUGUGCUAGGCUUAGGAUUGGGUCUUGUCCAUCACAUCAUUCUGCUAAUGAUGUGAUCCUGUUAUCAACGACAUCCAAUGUCCAUGGCCAGGAAACCGCAACCAUCUAUUGAUCAACGAGCUAGUCAACUAGAGGCUUACUAGGGACAUGGUGUUGUCUAUGUACCCACACAUGUAUCUGAGUUUCCUAUCAAUACAAUUAUAGCAUGGAUAAUAAACGAUUAUCAUGAACAAGGAAAUAUAAUAAUAACUAAUUUAUUAUUGCCUCUAGGGCAUAUUUCCAACAGUCUCCCACUUGCACUAGAGUCAAUAAUCUAGUUCACAUCGCCAUGUGAUUAACACUCACAGGUCACAUCGCCAUGUGACCAACAUCCAAAGAGUUUACUAGUGUCACUAAACCAGUUCACAUCAUCAUGUGAUUAAGACUCAAUGAGUUCUGGGGUUUGAUCAUGUUUUGCUUGUAAGAGAGGUUUUAGUCAACGGGUCUGCAACAUUCAGAUCCGUAUGUACUUCGCAAUUCUCUAUGUCAUAUUGUAAAUGCUGCUUCCACGCUCCACUUGGGGCUAUUCCAAAUGGUUGCUCCACUAUACAUAUCCGGUUUGCUACUCAGAGUCACUCGGAUAGGUGUUAAAGCUUGCAUCGACGUAACCCUUUACGCCGAACUCUUUAUCACCUCCAUAAUCGAGAAACAUGUCCUUUAUUUACUCCAAGGACAAUUUUGACCGCUGUCCAAUGAUCCAUUCCUGGAUCAUUCUUGUACCCCUUGACUGACUCAUGGCAAGGCACACUUCCGGUGCGGUACACAACAUAGCAUACUAUAGAGCCUACGUCUGAAGCAUAGGGGACGACCUUCGUCCUUUCUCUCUCUUCUGCCGUGGUCGACCUUUAACUCUUAACUUCAUACCUUACAACUCAGACAAGAACUCCUUCUUUGACUGAUCCAUCUUGAACACCUUCAAGAUUAUGUCAAGGUAUGUGCUCAUUUGAAAGUAUUAUUAAACAUUUUGAUAUAUAUUAUAGAUCUUGAUGCUUAUUGUUCAAGUAGCCUAAUCCAGGUUUUCCAUUGAAAAACAUUUUUCAAACAACCCUAUAUGCUUUCCAGAAAUUCUACAUCAUUUCUGAUCAACAAUAUGUCAACAACAUAUACUCAUCAGAAAUUCUAUAGUGCUCCCACUCACUUCUUUGGAAAUACAAGUUUCUCAUAAACUUUGUAUAAACCCAAAAUCUUUGAUCAUCUUAUCAAAGUGCAUAUUCCAACUCCGAGAUGCUUACUCCAGUCCAUGGAAGGAUCGCUGGAGCUAGCAUACCUUUUAGCAUCCUUAGGAUCGACAAAACCUUUCUGAUUGUAUCACAUACAACCUUUCCUUACAAAAACUGGUAAGGAAACUCAUUUUGACAUCCAUCUGCCAGAUUUCAUAAAUGCAGCUAAUGCUAACAUGAUUCCGACGGACUUAAGCAUCGCUACGGAUGAGAAAAUCUCAUCGUAGUAAACUCCUUGAACUUGUGAAAAACUCUUCGCCACAAGUCGAGAUUCAUAGACGAUGAAAUUACCGUCCACGUCCAUCUUCUUCUUAAAGAUCCAUUAAUCUUAAUGGCUUGCCGAUCAUCGGGUAAGUCCACCAAAGUCCAUGAUACAUGGAUCCUAUCUCGGAUUUCAUGGCUUCUAACCAUUUGUCGGAAUUUGGGCCCACCAUCGCUUCUCCAUAGCUCAUAGGUUCAUUGUUGUCUAGCAACAUGACCUUCAAGACAGGAUCACCGUACCACUCCGAAGCAGUACGCAUCCUUGUCUCCUUACGAGGUUCGAUAGUGACUUGAUCCGAAGCUUCAUGAUCACUAUCAUAAGCUUCCACUUCAAUUGGUGUAGGUGCCACAGGAACAACUUCCUGUGCCCUGCUACACACUGGUUGAAGUGAUGGUUCAAUAACCUCAUCAAGUCUCCACCAUCCUCCCACUCAAUUCUUUCCAGAGAAACUUUUCCUCGAGAAAGGACCCGUUUCUAGAAAUAAUCACUUUUGCUUCCGGAUCUUAAUUAGGAGGUAUACCCAACCAUUUUGGUUAUCCUAUGAAGAUGCAUUUAUCCGUUUUGGGUUCGAGCUUAUCACGAUGAAACUUUUUCACAUAAGCGUCGCAGCCCCAAACUUUCAAGAAACGACAACUUAGGUUUCUCUAAACCAUAGUUCUCACGGUGUCAUCUCAAAGGAAUUACGUGGUGCCCUAUUAAAGUGAGUGCGGUUGUCUCUAAUGCCUAACCCAUGAACGAUAGUGGUAAUUCGACAAGAGACAUCAUGGUACGCACCAUAUCCAAUAGGGUGCAACUAUGAUGUUCGGACACACCAUCAAACUAUGGUGUUCCAGGCGGUAUUAAUUGUGAAACAAUUUCCACAAUGUCUUAAUUGCGUGCCAAAGCUCGUAACUCAGAUACUCAUCUCUAUGAUCAUAUCAUAGACAUUUUAUCCUCUUGUCACAAUGAUCUUCAACUUCACUCUGAAAUUAAUUGAACCAUUCAAUAAUUCAGACUUGUGUUUCAUCAAGUAAAUAUACUCAACAUUUACUCGAAUCAUCUGUGAAGUAAGAACAUAACGAUAUUCACUACAUGCCUCAGCACUCAUUGGACUGCACACAUCAAAAUGUGUUACUUCCAACAAGUUGCUAUCUUGUUCCAUCUUACUAAAAUCGAGGCUUUUUAGUCAUCUUGCCCAUGUGGUAUGAUUUGCAUAUCUCAAGUGAUUCAAAAUCAAGUGAGUCCAAACGAUCCAUCUGCAUGGAGUUUCUUCAUGCGUAUACACCAAUAGACAUGGUUCGCAUGUCUCAAACUUUUCAAACACGAGUGAUUCCAGAGAUCCAUCAACAUGGAGCUUCUUCAUGCGUUUUAUACCAAUAUGACUUACAUGGCAGUGCCACAAGUAAGUGGUACUAUCAUUACUAUCUUAUAUCUUUUGGCAUGAAAAUGUGUAUCACUAUGAUCGAGAUUCAAUAAACCAUUCCUUUAGGUGCAAGACCAUUGAAGGUAUUAUUCAAAUAAAUAGAGUAACCAUUAUUCUCCUUAAAUGAAUAACCGUAUUGUGAUAGACAUAAUCCAAUCAUGUCUAUGCUCAACGCAAACACCAAAUGACAAUUAUUCAGGUUUAAUACUAAUCUUGAUGGUAGAGGGAGCGUGCGAUGUUUGAUCACAUCAAACUUGGAAACACUUCCAACACAUAUCGUCAGCUCACCUUUAGCUAGUCUCCGUUUAUUCCGUAGCUCUUUUAUUUCGAGUUACUAACACUUAGCAACCGAACCGGGAUCUUAAUACCCUGGUGCUACUAGGAGUACUAGUAAAGUACACAUUAACAUAAUGUAUAUCCAAUAUACUUCUAUCGACCUUGCCAGCCUUCUCAUCUACCAAGUAUCUAGGGUAAUCCUGCUCUAGUGGCUGUUCCCCUUAUUACAGAAGCACUUAGUCUCGGGUUUGGGUUCAACCUUGGGUUUAUUCACUAGAGCAGCAGCUGAUUUGCCGUUUCAUGAAGUAUCCCUUCUUGCCCUUGCCCUUCUUCAAACUAGUGGUUUUACCAACCAUCAACAAUUGAUGCUCCUUCUUGAUUUCUACUUUCGCGGUGUCGAACAUCGCGAAUAGCUCAAGGAUCAUCAUAUCUAUCCCUGUUAAGUUAUAGUUCAUCACAAAGCUCUAGUAGCUUGGUGGCAAUGUCUUUGGAGAAACAUCACUGUCUCAUCUGGAAGAUUAACUCCCACUCGAUUCAAGUGAUUGUUGUACCCAGACAAUCUGAGUAUAAGCUCAAUGAUUGAGAUCUUCUCCCUUGGUUUGUAGGCUAGAAAACUCAUCGGAGGUGUCAUACCUCUUGACGUGGGCACGAGCCUGAAAUCCCAAUUUCAGCCCUCGAAACAUCUCAUAUGUUCCGCCACGUUUCGAAAACGUCUUUUGGUGCCUCAACUCUAAACCAUUUAACUGAACUAUCACGUAGUUAUCAAAAACGUGUAUGUCAAAUGUUCGCAACAUCCACAGACAACAUUCGAGGUUCAGCACACCGAGCGGUGCAUUAAGGACAUAAGCCUUCUACGAAGCAACGAGGACAAUCCUCAGUUUAUGGACCCAGUCCGCAUAAUUGCUACUAUCAACUUUCAACUAAAUAUUCUCUAGGAACAUAUCUAAAACAACAGAACUAAAGCGCGAGCUACGACAUAAUUUGCAAAAAAUCUUUUGACUAUGUUCAGGAUAAUUAAGUUCAUCUUAUGAACUCCCACUCAUAUAGACAUCCCUCUAGUCAUCUAAGUGAUUACAUGAUCCAAGUCAACUAGGCCGUGUCCGAUCAUCACGUGAGACGGACUAGUCAUCAUCGCUGAACAUCUUCAUGUUGAUCAUAUCUACUAUACGACUCAUGCUCGACCUUUCGGUCUCUUGUGUUCCGAGGCCAUGUUUGUACAUGCUAGGCUCGUCAAGUUAACCUAAGUGUUUCGCGUGUGUAAAUCUGGCUUACACCCAUUGUAUGUGAACGUAAGAAUAUAUCACACCCGAGCAUCACGUGGUGCUUCGAAACAACGAACUUUUGCAAUGGUGCACAGUUAGGGGGAACACUUUCUUGAAAUUUUAAUGAGGGAUCAUCUUAUUUACUACCGUCACUCUAAGCAAAUAAGAUGUAGAAACAUGAUAAACAUCACAUGCAAUCAAAAAGUGACAUGAUAUGGCCAAUAUCAUUUUGCUCCUUUUGAUCUCCAUCUUCGGGGCUCCAUGAUCAUCAUCGUCACUGGCAUGACACCAUGAUCUCCAUCAUCAUGAUCUCCAUCAUCGUGUCUGCAUGAAGUUGUCUCGCCAACUUAUUACUUCUACUACUAUGGCUACCGGUUAUCAAUAAAGUAAAGUAAUUACAUGGCGUUGUUCAAUGACACGCAGGUCAUACAAUAAAUAAAGACAACUCCUAUGGCUCCUGCCGGUUGUCAUACUCAUCGACAUGCAAGUCGUGAUUCUUAUUACAAGAACAUGAUCAAUCUCAUACAUCACAUAUCAUUCAUCACAUUCUUCUUGGCCAUAUCACAUCACAUAGCAUACCCUGCAAAAACAAGUUAGACGUCCUCUAAUUGUUGUUUGCAUGUUUUACGUGGCUGCUAUGGGUUUCUAGCAAGAACGUUUCUUACCUACGCAAAACCACAACGUGAUAUGCCAAUUGCUAUUUACCCUUCAUAAGGACCCUUUUCAACGAAUCCGUUCCGACUAAAGUGGGAGAGACUGGCACCCGCUAGCCACCUUAUGCACCAAGUGCAUGUCAGUCGGUGGAACCUGUCUCACGUAAGAGUACGUGUAAGGUCGGUCCGGGCCGCUUCAUCCCACAAUACCGUCGAAACAAGAUUGGACUAGUAACGGUAAGAAUAUUGAACAAAAUCAACACCCACAACUACUUUGUGUUCUACUCGUGCAUAGAAUCUACGCAAUAGACCUAGCUCAUGAUGCCACUGUUGGGGAACGUAGCAGAAAUUCAAAAUUUUCCUACGUGUCACCAAGAUCUAUCUAUGGAGAAACCAGCAACGAGGGGAAGGAGAGUGCAUCAACAUACCCUUGUAGAUUGCUAAGCGGAAGUAUUCAAGAGAACGGGGUUGAAGGAGUCGUACUCGUCGUGAUCCAAAUCACCGGAGAUCCUAGUGCCGAACGGACGGCACCUCCGCGUUCAACACACGUACAGCCCGGUGACGUCUCCCAUGCCUUGAUCCAGCAAGGAGAGAGGGAGAGGUUGAGUAAGACUCCAUCCAGCAGCAGCACAACGGCGUGGUGGUGGUGAAGGAGCAUGGCAAUCCUGCAGGGCUUCGCCAAGCACCGCGGGAGAGGAGGAGAACUUGGGAGAGGGGGAGGGAUGCGCCAGAACUUGGGUGCGAUUGCCCUNNNNNNNNNNNNNNNNNNNNNNNNNNNNNNNNNNNNNNNNNNNNNNNNNNNNNNNNNNNNNNNNNNNNNNNNNNNNNNNNNNNNNNNNNNNNNNNNNNNNNNNNNNNNNNNNNNNNNNNNNNNNNNNNNNNNNNNNNNNNNNNNNNNNNNNNNNNNNNNNNNNNNNNNNNNNNNNNNNNNNNNNNNNNNNNNNNNNNNNNNNNNNNNNNNNNNNNNNAAGGGGGGCGGAGUGCCUCCCAAGUCAAGUGGAGGCCCUCCCCCUUAGGGUUUCCCCUCUCCCAUGCGCAUGGGCCUUGGGGGGGGGGGGCUCGUGCCCCUGGCCCAUUAAGGAUAGGGCGUCCCCCUACAGCCCAUGCUGCUGUAUUGGACGUGGUGGAACAAUUUCCGGACCUCCGGACCCCACCGGAAUCCUCCGGAUCCUUCUGGAAGCUUCCCGGUACAAUACCGAAAAAACCCGAACAACAACUUUCCAUGUAUAAACCUUUACCUCCGGACCAUUCCAGAACUCCUCGUGACGUCCGGGAUCUCAUCCAGGACUCUGAACAACAUUCGGUAACCACAUACAAACUUCCUUUAUAACCCUAGCGUCGUCGAACCUUAAGUGUGUAGACCCAACAGGUUCGGGAACCAUGCAGACAUGACCUAGGCGUUCUCCGGCCAAUAACCAACUGCGGGAUCUGGAUACCCAUGUUGGCUCCCACAUGUUCCACGAUGAUCUCAUCGGAUGAACCACGAUGUCAAGGACUCAAUCAAUCCCGUAUAUAAUUCCCUUUGUCUAGCGGUAUUGUACUUGCCCGAGAUUCGAUCGUCGGUAUGCCGAUACCUUGUUCAAUCUCGUUACCGGCAAGUCUCUUUACUCGUUCCAUAACACAUCAUCCCGUGAUCAACCCCUUGGUCACAUUGUGCACAUUAUGAUGAUGUCCUACCGAGUGGGCCCAGAUAUACCUCUCCGUUAACCGGAGUGACAAAUCCCAGUCUUGAUUCGUGCCAACCCAAUAGACACUUUUGGAGAUAGCUGUAGUGCACCUUUAUAGACACCUAGUUACGUUGUGACGUUUGGUAGACCCAAAGCAUUCCUACGGUAUCCGGGAGUUGCACAAUCUCAUGGUCUAAGGAAAUGAUACUUGACAUUAGAAAAGCUUUAGCAUACGAACUACACGAUCUUUGUGCUAGGCUUAGGAUUGGGUCUUGUCCAUCACAUCAUUUUGCUAAUGAUGUGAUCCUGUUAUCAACGACAUCCAAUGUCCAUGGCCAGGAAACCGUAACCAUCUAUUGAUCAACGAGCUAGUCAACUAGAGGCUUACUAGGGACAUGGUGUUGUCCAUGUACCCACACAUGUAUCUGAGUUUCCUAUCAAUACAAUUAUAGCAUGGAUAAUAAACGAUUAUCAUGAACAAGGAAAUAUAAUAAUAACUAAUUUAUUAUUGCCUCUAGGGCAUAUUUCCAACAGUUGCAAAACUGAGGGAUUAUGUAGCUCAGGCUAAGGAGGAGCUUAAUGCUGAGAAUGCUAGGAUGGCAACAGAGCGAGCUGCUUUGGAGGCUGAGUCACAGCAAGUACAUGCCAAGGCCUUUCAACUAAGUUUGGACCUACGAAGGAGGCACCAAAUCCGUUUGCCUCCGCAGUUCGAAGAGAGGAAUCUCUUCACUACGCUCGACGCAGGGCCAAGUAACCCGCCCGAUGUGACCCGGGCCGCUGAGGCGCCUGUGACCGGAGCGGUAGCUCAACCCUGCGCAACAGACCCGCUCCAUGUAGAUUUAACCCCGCUUCAGCGAGUAUCAACACCUCUGAGUCAUUACUCUAACCCCCUGGAUAACAUGAUUGCUACAGCUUCACGCCUGGCGGCUCUUCCCAUUGAAGGCGAGUCUCCUGUUGCGAUAGAGGCCCGGAACGAUGUGGAACUUCUUUAGACGGCGGUUUCUCAGCAUGCGGCGUACUCUUAUAGCCGCGAGCGAACCCAUUCAACUCCGUGUCAGAGUCUAAGCUAGAGCCGGCGUGUUGAGUCGCCGGCGGUUUCCAGCAGUGAACAGUGUCGUAACCUGCCCCAUGGGCAUGACCUGCCCCAUGGUGACACUACAAAAAAAAUACACUUCCGUGAUGAUACAUGUUUGUCACAGUAGGUCAUGUUUUUGUCAUGCAUGUACAUCCAUGACGAUUUUAUGACAGAAUCAAGAUAGUCAUACCUGUGCUGUCGUAGAAGUGUUCCAUUACAUUACCAAAAUUAUCAUCACGGAAGUGUCCAUUUCCAUGACGAUAAAUCAUGCUGUCACGCCCAAUAUGUGAUACUAUCCUAAAGAGACUCGAAGGUCCCACAAGGAUAGAACCGCAUAUUGAAACGCUUUUGCAAGGUGGAUAUCAUUACAUCAACAUUACAUAAUAGAUGGGGAUACAUACAUAAGGCAUACAAUGCCACAUGAAUACAACAAUAUAUCAUACACAAUAUCAACAUCCGACUACGGAUGAAACACAAACAGAAACUCAAACGACAUCCACCCUGCUAGCCCAGGCUGCCGACCUGGAACCUAUCCCCUGAUCGAAGAAGAAGCAGAAGAAGAACUCCAAAACAAGCAAACAUCGCUCUCGCGUCAUCAUCAUCACACAAUCUAUACCUGCAACUGUUGUUGUAGUAAUCUGUGAGCCACGAGGACUCAGCAAUCCCAUUACCAUGGGUAUCAAGACUAGCAAAGCUUAAAAGGGAAAGGAAGAAGUAAAGUGGUGAGGCUGCAGCAGCGACUAAGCAUAUAUGGUGGCUAACAUACGCAAAUAAGAGCGAGAAGAGAGCAAAUGGAACGGUCGUGAAGCUAGCAAUGAUCAAGAAGUGAUCCUGAACUCCUACUUACGUCAAACAUUACCCAAAACCAUGUUCACUUCCCGGACUCCGCCGGAAAGAGACCAUCACAGCUACACACGCGGUUGAUGCGUUUUAAUUCGAAUCAGGUGUCAAGUUAUGUACAACCGGACAUUAACAAAUUCCCAUCUGCCCAUAAUCGUGGGCACGGCUUUCGAAAGUUUAAACCCUGCAGGGGUGUCCCAACUUAGCCCAUGAUAAGCUCUCGCGAUCAACGAAGGAUAUACCUUCUCCCAGGAAAACCCGAUCAGACUCGGAAUCCCGGUUUACAAGACAUUUCGACAAUGGUAAAACAAGAGCAGCAAAGCCGCCCGAUGUGCCGACAAUCCCGAUAGGAGCUACACAUAUCUCGUUCUUAGGGCAACACCGGAUGAGACAUCCUACGAGUAAAACCAGACCUCGAGUUUCCCCGAGGGGGCCCCGCAGUCUACUCAGUUCGGACCAACACUUAGACAAGCAUUGGCCCAGGGGGGCUAAAAAAGAUGACCCUCGGGCUCCGGAAACCCAAGGGAAAAAGGGCUAGGUGAGGCAAAUGGUAAAACCAAGGUUGGGCCUUGCUGGAGGAGUUUUAUUCAAAGCGAACUGUCAAGGGGGUCCCAUAAAUCACCCAACCGCGUAAGGAACGCAAAAUCCGGGAACAUAACACCGGUAUGACGGAAACUAGGGCGGCAAGAGUGGAACAAAACACCAGGCAUAAGGCCGAGUCUUCCACCCUUUACCAAGUAUAUAGAUGCAUUAAUUAAAUAAGAGAUAUUGUGAUAUCCCGACAUAAUCAUGUCCAUCAUAGGGCAAUCUUCAACUUCACCUGCAACUAACAACGCUAUAAGAGGGGCUGAGCAAAGCGGUAACAUAGCCAAACAAUGGUUUGCUAGGAAGGGUGUCAAAGGUUAGAGGCUGACAUGGCAAUUUGGGAGGCUUGAUAAACAGUUGAUAGGUAGCACAGCAAAGCGAUAGAACGAAGCAACUAGCAUAGCAAUGAUAGUAGUGAGAUCCAGGGUAGCGGUCAUCUUGCCUGAAAUCCUGCAAGGAAGAAGAACGAGUCCAUGAAGAAGACGAACGGGAGUAGUCGAACGAAUCCUCACAAUCACAACAUUACCAGAACUAAGAAGCAACACCGGAAAGAAACAAACAACAUGGUAAAUGCAUAAGCAUAAACAUGGCAUGAUGCACAAACAAGUAUGAUGCAUGUUCGGUUUAAAUGAGGCAUGGCAUGGCAAAGUGCAACAAACAUUACUACAAGUUAAGUGGAGUUCAAUAUGCAACGAGUUGCAUAUUGACAAAACACCACAAGCAGUUAUUUAGUUCACUCUUGUUUAGGUACACAACAAUAUUAAAUGUUGUUAAACAUGGCAAGAGAUGAAACAUAAGUAAACUAACUAUCUAGACAAGUUUAAAUGGGACCGGAACAACAAACAACAAUUCCGGUAAGUCCCCAUAUACAUAUUUUAGAUUCGGUACUGUUCUGCCCUAAAACAUAUUUUAAAGUUAUUAAACAUGCAAAAUAAAGUGCACCAUGUUAAACUAGGCAUUUUCCCACCCCAAUUACAUAUAAAGAACGUUUAAAACCGAGCUACGGUUAUUUAGUUAUGAAAUAAAACAUGUUAGCAUGGCAUUUGAGCAAAUUUAAACAAACAGCAUUUUAAAUAUUUUAAACAUGGAUGAAAGUUGCAUAUUAUUAAUCUACACAAAAAUCUAAGCAUUUUACAUGUUGAAAUCAUUUUAAUAUGAUGCACGGUUGAGGAGUUAUUAUAUGCAUGAACAACAGGGGGUUUUCUGCAAUUAUGAAAAUCCUGGGAUAAUUAGACAAAUUCGCAGUGCAGGAAAAAAAUACACAUGGGCUGAAUCUGGAGCACUGUUGGGCUGAACAGACAGGAGGGGCUGUGGGGAGCUCACCAUGGGCUUUGGCCCGGUUCAGUGGAGAGGGAGGCCUGCAGGGACGCGAGGCGAGCUGGACCUGAUCUGGAGGCCAGCAGGCCGGCUGGGAACGCCUGGCUGGGCCUUGCCGCGGCUGCAGCCCACACAGCUGGCCAGCGCGGUCAACGCGUGGCUGGACCGAGCGAGCUGCUGCUCUCGUUUCUAACGAACAAAGAACAGAAGCAGCAGCAGGUUCAGGGCGAUGCAGAAGACAGCGGCAGCGGGACUUGGCGAAGGCGGGGAAGGUGCAAGACUAGACCGGGCCGGAGCUCGAUGUGGAUGCCGAGGGGAACCAAAUCUGAUGGGCGGCGCCUUGAUCUAAAGAAGAGGAUGGCCAUGGCGCUCGAUGCAAGGACACAGGAGGCGGGGCUUGGUGCAGCGACUUCAGAGGAAGCAGGGAGAGGGACUUGGCGGUGCAGUGGCUCUCGAGGCAGGCGCGCGAGGUGAGGGACUUGGCGGCCCGGUGAUGGGGUUGACCGCUACCUCCGGCUCGAAGCAGACCGCAGGGCGAGGCAAGGACAAAGCAGGGCGUGGCGCGGAGCACGCGCGAGGUGAGGUUCGAGCGGGCGAAGCAGAGGACGGGGUCGAGCUCGUCCCCGAGCAGAGGAUGACAGUGCUGUUGCUUUGAGGCGUCGGCCAUGGGAGCUCCGGUGAGUUCCCUGUGAAGGAGAGCGGGCGGUUCCUGUCCAAGGCAGAGAGAGAGCCCUGAGAGAGAGAUGAAUACAGAGGGAGGAGGAAGAACGAGGGAAGGAGGUGGGGCAUGGCGCUGGACCUGUGGCCGCCGACGGCGACAGUCGGAGGUGUGGGCGGAGAUUGAGGCGGCCUGGGGGACGAGGGAGCCCCACGGGCAUGGGCUCUCGGGCACGGGACGGUGGCCUGGUCUCGGGCGAGCUGAGAAGUCCGGCAACGACGGGGAUGGCAUGGAGGCGAACGGAGGUCGGGCGCUGCUUCUGAUCUGACCUGGAUCGAAGCACAGGAGGAAGGGGACGAGGCGCUCGGGCCUUGCGGCGCUGCGGAAGGAGGAGGUAGGCGUUGGUUGGAGGGAGUGGUUGGGCGGCGGUGCAAAUCGAGGGAGGCGGUCUGAGGGCGAGAGAGGAUCUGGAUCGGGGGAAUGAGGGGAUCCCGAGGAAGAAAUGUAGGUGGGUGGCGGCGAGGAUGGGAAGGACGGGACAGCCAUCCGAGAUUUUAGGGUUAGGUCGGUUUAAAUAGUAGUUGGAUUAGGUUAGUUUAGGGGUUAAUCCGUCCCUUCGAUCACAAUCGAAAUGUCUAGAAAAAAUAGGCAGGGAGUCCAAAUAAGAAAACAGGGAUGUUUUAUAGAUGUUUGGGGAUGAUCCGAAUCCAACGGUGAUGACUGAGCGGUUCGGGUUCGGGACAAUUUUCGGACGCGCGCAAGAGGGGGUUGGUGGCGUGCAGAGAGGUUAGGUGGUCUGACAAGAGGGAAAUGCAAACAUGGUUGGUCUCGGAACGGUCAACGAAAUUAAGGGGGGAACGCAGCAACUACGAAUGGGUGCAAGCUUUAUGAAAACAAUGACGGCAACGAUUGCCGAUGCAAUGCAAAUGAUGACAUGAGAUGAAAUGCAAGACCUGAACAAAAAGCAAAACAAAAAAAAACAAAAA
RNAcentral lists this long non-coding RNA (79858 nucleotides) under Triticum aestivum (bread wheat). RNAcentral describes it as "long non-coding RNA (TAES_LNC001301)". Lineage: Eukaryota; Viridiplantae; Streptophyta; Magnoliopsida; Poales; Poaceae. The record is from RNAcentral.